UUUGGUUUAUUAUUGUUUAAUUAGAAGUACGUAUGAAUUGUUACGAUCUUUAUCGAAUCACGUUUGCUAUCCUUAUCUUCCUCGCGAUAAACCAAGUGACAAGGCAUCUUAAUCUAUUGAACAUGGCCAGAAUUGGAAAUUAUUAGUCAGUAACCUUUUGAUGAUUAACUCUUUCAGGAUUAACUUUCCAAUUUACAGUAUUUACUUCGUGUGUAUCAUUUUUUAAGUGAUGUUUUAGGAUUUUUCUUCUUCUUUUUUUUUUUUUUUUUUUUUUUUUUUUCUUUUUAUUUUAUUUUAUUUUUCUAACUUUUUAUACUGUUAUGUUUUUAAUCUGUUGUUAAUUUCUUCGUUUUUUUGUUUUUUUUGUUUUUUUUUUGUUUUUUUGUUUUGUUUUUAAUACCGAAGCUGUUUUACUUAAUAAUAUUCUCAUGUAAAAAAGGUAGAUUAACUAAACUUAACUAAAAGUGAUAUGUUUUUUUAAAAAAAUUAUAGAUAAAAAAUCUUUAACAUCAUUAAAAAUGAUAUAUAGAGAAUAUUUUAUAGCACUAGAUAGUUAAUUUAAUUGACAAAGAAUUUGAGUGUUUAAUAAUAAAAACUGUAUAAAAUGACUUUUUUGGUUGGUAAAAAAGAAAAGAGAGUUGGCUAAUGCCAAUGCAGCACACACACAAGUUAAUAAAUACUUUAAAAAACACAAGCUAAUCUAAUGAAGGUGUGUCUAGAUACAGAUUACAGAAAGGGGGAGAAAUGGAAACAUGUGUUGAGUGACUUCAGAAUAUUCAAACUCGUGAUAUUUAGAUAAGCAUUGCAUUCCUCCAUCCUCAUUUCUACUCUUUUUUUUCUUACUUUCCCACUACUAGUUUGAAUUUUUUAAAAUAUCUUUUUAUAAGAUAAGAUUAUGAGAUCAUUUUUAAAUGAUUUAAGCAUGUGUAUUGGCGACAGAUCCAUUAGAAACAUUCAAAUUAAUUAUAUUUUUUAUAUAUAAUCUAUAAGAGUAACAAUACUAAUAAUAAAAUUGAAAAUACUAUUAAUAGGUUAUAUUCUUUUAAAAUUAAACAUAAAAUUACAUAGCACAGACUCAUAAGAAAUAAAUUUUAAAUGCAACAACUCGUAAAUAACAUACUAAACCAUGAUGAAAGAUAAUAUUAGUUUGAUAUUAUUGUAAUUUAAUUAAUAUUAAUAUAUAAUUUAAAUUCAUGAUAAUGGAAUUUGUUAGAUCUAUCAUUUUAUUUAGGAUCCAUAAAAAGUAAAAUAAAAUAAUAACAUAUGAUCUAUUAAAAUAUGAUAAAAUAUGAAAAAUUUAAUAAAACACGUGUCGAAUAUAAGAUGAUCUAAUAAUAUCCGAGAUAUUUUAUACUAUACUAAUACAUAUAUAUUUUUCUUUAUAAUACAUCAGUAUACUUUCUCUAAUAUUCUAUCAUAAUAAUAUUUUAACUAUUUAUAUCAAGGGGAAUUCUCUUCAAUACCAUGAAAAUACGUAUGUUUUCCAAAAAUACUAUUACAAGUUUUAUUAUCCAAAAACACUAGCUAUUAAAAUAUACAUAUUUUUUCCAAAAGUAUUACAAAACUAAAACUAAUAGUCAAAUUUUCAGUAUGUUAUGUUUAUUUUUACUAGGAGAAAUUGUAACGGUGCUUUCCACUUUUUAGCACAAUAUAGUUGUAAUUUUUUUUUGUCUUUUUACUCUGACUGUUUUAAUACCCCAAUUUUGUUAUCACAACAAUUGUAACAUGAUUACAUUAAUUCAUCUAUAUACUUAUAUUUUGACUGGAAAAAAACUAAAACUAAUAUUUUUAACAUUCAAAACUAAUUUCUAAAUCCUAAACACUAAAUCCAACUUUUAAAACUAUACCCUAAAUAUAGUUAGUCAACCCAAACAUAAAAAAACCCUAAUUAAAGUCUCUUAAACCUAAUCAAAUUAAUUUUUUCAAAGUCUCUUAAAGGAGAACUCAUUUUCACCCUCUUUUGGAAAAACCUAAUUUCAUACUUUUUAAGUUAUUUAUAUUUGUGAAAGAUUCAAUGAAAGAUUUUCAUCGUACAUAUAUGUUUUUACUAUUUCUGAUGUCAUUUAUUAAAUAAUGAACCUCACACCUCAUGCUCGUUGUCGUUGCGAUAGCUCUAGCCUCUAGUGAAAAAAUAUACGUCGUGUUGAAGAAAAUGAUAGUUGAAUGCAUAAGUAAGAUAAUACACAGUUGGGUUGCAUCGUCCAACCACAUGUGCGAAGUGAUUUUUGACGAAUGCGUUAAGAUUUACCCGUCAAUAAAAGCAUCCACUGAUGAUGAUUGAUGAUAUCUUUGUUUGUGAAAGAGAGCUACAUAUAGUGGAUUUUUGUUCCUUUUUAAAUGAGCCAAGAAAAUGUACAUACGGUAAUCGAUUAUUUAUGUGUUACAAUUUCCAAAUGUAUAGCUUGUUGUUAUCGUCUUCAACUUCGUUAUGAGCAUUGUAGAUAGUCCAAUAUGCUAAAUUUUAAUUUUGUAAACAUGUAUUAUAUAACAGAGAUUAUUUAGUCAUAAGGGUAAGUUUAUGCAAAUUAUUUUUUGCAAGUGGAUUCAUUUAAUUUUCUUGAUAGAACAUCAUUUGAAAGAUUUUUCUAAAGUUAUACAGUAAGGAAAUAUUUAUGUAUAUUAAUACAGGAUUCAUUGAUUAAUAUUUAUGAUCUUUCAGAAAUAAAAACUUAUGAUUAAUUACUUAUUAACUUCAAGUAAGGUUUAAGUGUAUAAUAAUAUCGUUGUAAAGAGUUAAAGAGUAGGAGUUAUUAAAAAAAAAAAAUUUAGAGAGAGCAGAGGCGCAUACACACACUUACAUUUUUCAUUUAAAAGAAAAAUAUCACACACACUCUCUACAAAUCUCAAAUCACAAAUCCCAUCUUCACCUUUGAGUGCGAGAUCUGAUCGUAUCGGCGAAGAAACAAUCAAUGGAGAUCUUCUACUUCGUGGUGUUCGGUGGCCUCGCUGCGAUCGUCGCCGGCUUGGAGCUCAGCAAAUCCAACAAAGACCGCAUUAACACCUCCUCCGCCUUCAACUCCUUCAAGAACAACUAUCUCCUCGUCUACUCUCUCAUGAUGGGUGAGUCUCUGAGUACAUCUCUCUCGAUGAUCUCUCGAUCCAUUGUCCUGCGCGAUCGAUUUUGUUAUUUUGUCUAGCUUAGUGUCGGUGGAACUAGAUCGAUUUGACCUGAAUGAAUGAAUGUUGCUCCCAUCGAUGAUGAUUGUCUGUGGAAUUAGAUCCUUAAUCCAACAACUAUUUUGCUCUCCCUUUAGCUGGGGAUUGGUUGCAGGGUCCCUAUGUGUACUAUCUCUACAGCACUUACGGCUUCGGCAAGGGGGAGAUCGGUCAGCUCUUUAUCGCUGGUUUUGGAUCUUCCAUGUUGUUUGGCACCAUUGUUGGAUCUCUUGCCGACAAACAGUAAGCCAUCUUUUCCAUUUUCUUCUAGAUAUUGCUCUCUCAUGUUCCAUCUUUAAUGCCUGUUUCUUUUCUCUGUUACAUUCUCUAGGGGUCGCAAGAGAGCUUCUAUUACCUACUGCAUUACCUACAUUCUCAGUUGUAUCACCAAACAUUCUCCCCAGUACAAAGUUUUGAUGGUCGGCCGUGUUCUUGGUGGUAUUGCUACUUCCCUCCUCUUUUCUGCCUUUGAAUCCUGGCUGGUUGCUGAGCACAACAAGAGAGGUUUCGAGCAGCAGUGGCUAUCUGUCACUUUCUCAAAGGCUAUUUUCCUUGGUAAUGGAUUAGUCGCCAUCAUUGCUGGACUCUUCGGCAAUUUCCUUGUGGAUUCUCUUGCCCUCGGUCCUGUUGCUCCUUUCGAUGCUGCUGCUUGCUUCCUUGCUAUUGGUAUGGCUGUUAUUAUUUCAUCAUGGUCCGAAAACUAUGGAGAUCCAUCAGAAAACAAAGAUCUUCUUACCCAGUUCAAGAACGCCGCAUCUGCAAUUGCUUCUGGUGCCAUCUCUUAUCUUGCCUGCUUUUUGACUUAAUAUGGGUUUGCUUCUAGCUUUAUUCCGCUAACCACUUCAAUUAUUGAAUCAGAUGAAAAGAUCGCAUUGCUUGGUGCCAUACAGUCUCUGUUUGAAGGGUCCAUGUACACCUUUGUGUUUCUCUGGACUCCUGCUUUGAGCCCUAAUGAAGAGGACAUUCCACAUGGUUUCAUAUUUGCAACAUUCAUGCUGGCUUCCAUGCUUGGUAGCUCCAUUGCCUCUCGUUUGUUGGCACAUUCGUCUCCAAAAGUAGAGAGCUAUAUGCAGAUCGUAUUUGUGAUAUCUUCUGCAGCUCUAAUGCUUCCUGUUGUAACAAGCGUACGCUCUCUGUCUUGAUAUCUCUCUCUAUUUACUUUCCAUAUUCAAGGAGUAUUACCAAUAUAAUAACUUCUCAAAUCGCAAAUUGGAGCAGUUCUUGGUGGCGCCCUCCGGUGUAAAAGGUGGAAGCAUAUCCUUCUCUGGAUGCAUUCAGUUAAUGGGUUUCUGCACAUUUGAAGCGUGUGUAGGGAUCUUCUGGCCAUCUAUAAUGAAGAUGAGAUCGCAAUACAUUCCAGAGGAAGCCAGAAGCACCAUCAUGAAUUUUUUCCGCAUCCCACUCAACAUCUUUGUCUGCCUUGUAUUGUACAAUGUGAGUUUUCCAUAUCUUUUAAUUACGACAUCUUCGGGACAGUGGUUUUAUUAUCACUCCUAAUAAGGAACAUUGUGUUCCGAACACAAUUUUUACACACCUCUAGCUUUGGGUAAAUAUUUGGCUUGGCCUACUGAGCGUAUCUAGGUUUCAUUUCGUUCAUAAUUAUUUAGAACAAGUUACCUUGGCUUUGCUCUUAGAUCCUUAGUGUGCAAUCUAAAACUUAUUCAUUCAUUAUCCAUCAUAUCGGGUCUUCCUUAUCUAAGGAGUAUUAUCCAAGGCUAUCCCUUAGAUACUUAGUGUAUAAUUUACAAGUUAUUUAUUCAAUAUCUCUCAUCUGGAUUGUUUGUUUGGAUGUAAACAAAAGAUGUAUUGCCAUGGACCUAACGAGCUUUUCUGAUCUUUGUGUGCUAAAGGUCGACGCGUUUCCAAUGACUGUUAUGUUUGGAAUGUGCUCUGUAUUCCUUUUUGUGGCCUCUAUAUUGCAGAGGAGGUUGAUGAAUGUAGCCGAGAUCCACAGAUCAAGUAAGUCGUCCGACAUGAAACUCUUUGAUUCUAUGACACAAGCUUAAUUGGGUCGUAGAACGGAAUCAGUGGAUUGGGAUUAUCCUAUUCAUGAGAAAUAUAUAGCAAAAGCUAUGCUAUUCAAGCAUGAAUUUCCAACUGAUGAACAUUGCAUAUGAUAUUUUGCAUGCUUGUAGAUUCAUUUAUAACGCUUGCCAUCAAACAUUGGAACCGUUUUAUGUUCAUAUCAAACAGUGCCUUUGAUUUGAUGAUUCUUGAGGACCGGUGAUCCUAGUGUAUCUCUUAUUACCAUUGCAGGAUCACAAGAGUGGUCGGCAGCAAAGGAGAUGACCUCAGAAGCUGAUCCUCUAAACCCAUAAUAACCAAAAUAUAAAAAUCUCCGUUGACAUAAAAAAAGAGGAAACGCCGUUUGGUUUCUCUUUUGAUGAUUUUUCAACUUCUCUUAAUUACGCACCUUAAGUUAUAAAGUCUUUCCACUGGUUUAGUUAUAUUUGGAUUUUGUGCAUUCACCAGAUGUAGCAAACACUCUAAGACCUGUGUACGUCGGCAUAUUUGGGCUUUGGCCAUUAUUCUUCAUGAAUCUUUCAAUUAUUUAUUUUGUGCCUUGGAUAUUGGGUGGCCCUAAACCAUAGAAAUGCAGAAAUGGUGUGUGUGCCUAGUCUCUGCAUAAGUGAGGAAACUAGAAAUGCUUGCGAGGGGUCAGUCAUAAACGAAUAAAUUAUAAUACACUCAAAGACAUGAAUGGAAAACUAUGGAACCACAAGCGAUUUGAAGACUGGUGUGGUGGCCAUGUGAAACAAUACACAAGCAGACAUUUUAUUAUUGCCAAUGCAUUGUCGAUUAGAGAGAGAGACCCUUUCUGUAUUGAUACGAUGCGACAUUGCCCACUUCGGGCCAUGUGCCCAAUUCUCAGGGGUACAAUCGUCACUUCUUUUGAAUCCUUUGCUUUACCAAUUAAUUUAUUUAAGCUUUUCAGGAGAUCUGAGAAGCGAAGAAAGCAAGUACACCCAAUCAAGAGAGAGAGAGAGAGAUGGGAGUCAUGGGUUUGAGCAGCAUGAUAAUGGUGGUGGCGAUAGUGUUAUUAGGACAGGAGAUUGGUAAAGUGUCGUCGACUCUAUACAAAGUUGGGGACUUGGACGCAUGGGGUAUCCCAGUUGAUGCUAAAGUCUACUCCAAAUGGCCCAAAUCUCACUCUUUCAAGAUCGGUGACUCCCUCUGUAAGUCAUUCUUCUACUCUCUUCUUCAAAAUUUCAACUCUUUAUAGUUUUGAAUCUCUCAAAUCUAAUCACAUCACUGUGUUGCUGAAACCAAACAACAGUGUUCUUGUACCCACCAAGCGAAGACUCACUGAUUCAAGUGACAGCCUCCAAUUUCAAGAGCUGCAACACCAAAGACCCGAUCUUGUACAUGAACGACGGCAACUCUCUCUUCAACCUCACCCAAAACGGAACUUUAUACUUCACAAGUGCACAUCCCGGCCACUGUUCCAAGUACCAGAAGCUCCUCGUCUCCGUCGGAACCUACUCCGCCGAAGCAGAGGCCUUGUCUCCGUCGUCUUCUGCCGACGCUCCCUCUUACCAAAACGCCUUCGGGUCGAUUCCUCUCUCUCAGAAAUCGUCGUCGUCAUCGCUCAUUUCGGCUUUCUCCAUUGUCUUUGCUUCGCUGGCUUGCGCUGUCGUCGGUGCAAUCAUGUGAAAUUGAUUUUUUUUUUGUUUGAAUUAUUAUUAUUUUUUUUGGUCUAAAGAGAGAAAAAAAUGAUUGGUUCUUUUUCUUAUUAAUUAUUAUAUAUACACACACACCUUCUGCCUCCUUUUAAACCUUUAUACAAUCUCGGCAAUUUAAAUUUGUUGUAUUUCUUCUAUCCAAAUCUUAUAUACAGACAUAAUCAGCUUAUUAUAGCAUGUUAUUAACAUCAGUAACAUUUCUCAUUCGUUCAAUAUGUGGUUUCUGUUGCAAUAUGCACAAUUACAAAACCAAAGCGGCGAGAAAUGGAAGACCCUUUUCAAGAAGAAUUUAAUAAAGCAGUGAAACAAAACCAAAAAAGAUAAAAGAGUAUGGCAGCAAAUCCCAAAAAGAGAGAGAGAGAGAAGAGGGGUUAGUAAGAAGACAUACAGGCUGAGACUGCCAGAGGUGAAAAGCUCAGUGAUCAUGUUGAUGGCUUUGUUAGUAUCAUCAACCCAGGAGUAGAAGAGUUUGAUGAUGUUAUCAUGAUUAAGAGAUUUGAGGAGAUGGACUUCAGAGUAAAGUCUAUCAAGUUGGCCAGGCAUCUGCAAUACAUUGUCGAUGCUCAUUAGGUUCCAAGCAACUUCGAUCCCUUCAAAUGCCUUGUAGCUGGGAGAGCCGGAGAGGUAACAACAACCACAAGAGAUGAGAAAACAUUAAGAUGAAAAAAAAGCAAAUUAGAGUUCAAUUAUAAAGCACAGGACGUAUAAACAUACACAAUUUUUGAAGGCUCCUCUCCCUAGAACGUCAUCAGACUGAAGGAAGCAGAAGAAGAAAAGAAAGAAUGAUCACUAGUUUGUUCCCAGCGAAUUUAACUCUUACAUAGGAAACAUGAUCCUAAACUAACUAAGACUCUAUAACAAUCAUAUCAAGAGGAAGAGCGCAUUAUCGACAACAAACCCCUAAUUUUACAGUAAAUUUCAUCCGUAGAGAGAGGAAGAAGGAGAAGCGUACCCCAAUGUAGCGACCAGUGGGAUCUUUCUGGACGAAGUCAGCCUCGUCCAUGGCAGAUAUCUAAUCUAAUAGUCCGGAGGAAGAGGAAGAAGUAGAAGAAGAAGAAGAGAAGGAGGAAUGGUUACAGAAGAAGGGUGAGGACGAAGAUUGGAUCGGAGAAGGCCUCACAGGCGAAGCAGAAGGAGUCGAUUGCCGAAGACCGGAAACGAAGAGUGGCGGCGAAGGGAAUCCCCAUGUCCGAGACGAUGAAGAUGAGGUACGGCGGUGGUGCUGCGGCUGCUUGUCUCUUGUUCUUGUAAAUGGAUAGAAGAAGAAGAAGAGCAUCACCUCCAUUGAUCCACCACCAUUGUUUGAUUAGGGGCUCCUCAAGCAGAGAUAACUACAGUCUACAGAUGAUGAGAGGGAAGCUUCGAUUUCGCCCACCACAAUUCUUCAAUUUGUUGGGAAACCAAAAAUAAAAUGAAAAAAAAAAAAACCCAAAAAAUUGCGACUCUCUCCUUGUCUCCCCCCUAUCUCUUACGAGGAUAACGGCGAAUCUCUAUUUUCUGAUUCUGUCAGUUAUUAACAGUUAUUCGCAUCAAAACGACGUUGUACUUCAUCUUGUAAAAUGGGCCUCCUUUCUCUUUACAUGGAUGGACUCUCAAUGUUUAAAGGCCCAAUUUUCCUUUGAUGAGUAAAUGAAUGUUUCUAAAUUCUGUCUACAAAUGGAACAACAUCUUUACUACUACUAUCAACAGAAUGUGUUUUGUAUCUAAAGGCAACCAAACCAACCAGGUACUAUAACAACAAAUCAUCAUGUUUGGUAUGAUGGUGUUGAAAAAGCUGAACUAGUGAGUAGAAGACUUGAAGCCUCGUCACUUGUGGGUUUGCCUGUACGAUCAAGUGUGCCCAUAUUUGGCCUUUUCUUGUUUCCAUCACUCCUUUCAAUAUCUUCAAUCCCAAUCCUCUCACCACUUCUCCUAUCUCCAGAAACUCCCCUCUUUCCUCGCAUACCAUCUCUAUCUGCAUUUCCCCUUGCCUGUUCAGUUCCUCCACUAUUAUCGGACAUACCACUGCUUCCUCAUCAUCAUCUCCCACUUCCAACGCCCAUGUUCUCUCCUUCACCAGCUGAUACAUACCAUAUAUAUCAUUCUGAUCAGUAAACAAUUUAAGACUUGUUCACUAGCUUUAUUCAUGAAUGACUCAUCCAUUUGAUUUCUCCUUACCUUGGACUCGUAUGGCUGCUUGAGUCUGUCUGCGUACUUGGCGAGACUUUGCAUGAACUCCAUGUGCUUUAUGGUCAGAUCAAGCAACGUAUCUAUGCUACACUGUUUCAUAUGUGUAUUAGAAAAUGCAUUUGCUGCAUGCUAGUCUCCAAACUAUAUUAUCAUUAUUAUUAUUAUUUUGAUUUUACCUUUGCUCCAUUUGGAAUCAUCCCUCGCAGCUCCUUGAUACGGUCUUGUAUCAUCUGACGGUCCUUAGGCCUCGGCCUCCUGCUUUCUCCUGCCUUUGCUCUUUUCUUCUUCACACCUUCUUCGUGAGGCUUUUUCCAAUUCCCUCCGACGCUUGUUCUCUCAUCAUCAAUCCACAAACUCCGGCCUGUUACUACAGUCUCCUCCUGCGGGAACAAGCUUGAGCUGUGCGCUGACGAUGUUUCAAGCUUCCGUCUUUUGCUCUGAUUCACACCAGAAUACUCUUGCACGUUUGUGAGAGAACUGGUACAAGUGUUGUUGCUAAGACUGCUGCUUAUGAGCUCAGAGAAGAGCCCUUUAGGCGGCACAGCCAAAGGCCUAGAAAAAUCUUGAGAAUUCAUGCCAACAAUGUCGAAAAGAUCCUUGUCAUUGCCUUGGAUCACCAUGGGAUUCUCGUGGUGAUCAACGGAAGAGCAAUUCUGUUCAGGUGAGUCAGCGAGCAGCUCGUAAAGAUCGUCCAGAGUGUAAGACUUGAGAAUGUCGAAACCAAAAUCAUCCCCACUGCUAAGAUCUUGGUGGGAAGAAGCUGCUUCAGAGGUUUUACCAGAGAUCAUCUCAUUCUCAGGGCUGAGCAAAGAAGGAGGGUCGUCGUCGGCGAAGAUGUCAUCAAAGCUGAGUCCUUGAAAAGAUUCAGCUGGGACAAGCUCACAAUCUCCCAGUGGCACUAAAGACUCGAACAGAGUAUCGAGGUCCACCGAGUGAUCUGGCUUCUCUUGCAUAGCUCUGGUUGUUUGUUCCAACAUCUCUAGGCUCUCAAGAAUCUACGUACAUAAUUCAAAGAUCCACUACUAAUUAGUCCAUGACUUCCACAGCAAGAAAUUAUAAUAAUAUCAACAAAUAAAGAAACAUUUUCUAAGCAAACCUUUUGAACAGAUCCGAACUGAACAACGCCUCUAGAUCCUACUGGAAUGACUGCGAUAGUCUGUACGAAAAAAUGGACAUAAGAAUCUGAUUCGAAUUUUUUUAAGAAACUGGGGACAAGACAAUGUAAUCACCUUAAAGCCAGAGAGAAACUGAUUCUGAAACUCAUGCUCACACUGCAAAACAAUCAAAUUAAGACACAAAUGAUCAAAGCCUUAUUCUUCUUUCUUAUUAAUGAGAUAUUUGGACAUACAUACAGGCUACAGCUUAGCUCACAUGAAAGCAUAUGAGAAAAAUCAAACAUGCAAAGGAAAGGAAAAGAAGGGAAGAAGGAGAGCAUACCUGAAACAAUGUGUCUGAAAAGAGCCAUUGAUGGUUUCCGGUUAAAGCGACUUCUCCCACAAUUCUGAAGUCAUCAAAAGAAAAAGAAAAGGUAUAAUGAAGAUACAUACAUACACAAUAGAGAGAUGGAUAAAUAGUAUUUGAUUCAAGUGUUGAAAAAAGCUUACCCUUGGCCUAAGAUGUGAGGCUGAAGAAUCAAAUCAUCAAGGAGGGAGACUGAUUGUACAUCAUCAUUGUAUGCUUCUUCAAAUCUCAAUAACCUGAAAUGCAAUGCAAUGCAAUCCAAAUGAACAAACAGCGUAAGCAUAAAAGAAAGAGGCAGAACAGAAAUGGAGGAAUCACAUGGAAUUGAUGGGAUCAUAGCGCCAGAAAACAGCAAAAGACCAUCCAUGGCUGAAACAGAGACUCUUCAAUAUCUGCUUAGUCUCCCAACCCAUAAUUUAAUCUAGUUGAGAAUCUCAAGUAAACUCGAGAAGACCCUGACCUCGAACUCUUAAAUAAGACAACAACUACUUUAAAUUUGUCUUCUCCAGAAAAACAAACUCCAAAGAUAAAGAAAAGCUGGGAAACAGAGGAAUAAUGUUUGGUUCAGAGUUUUCUUCUUGUUUAUUUAUUUAUUUAAUAAUAUCUGCACAGAACAGAGAAAGAAAAAUAAAAUUAAAAAACAAAGAGACACAGAGGAGAGAAUUGCUGCUUGUGUUUUGCUUUUUGUUCAAGCAAUUAAAAAGAAGAAGAGUCUUUGUCUCUCUUUCUCUCUAUAGUCUCUAUAUAUAUAUACACAUGCAAAAACAUAAAACUAUUGGACCCUUUUUAGAUCAACAAAAUGUUUCUUAUAAAAUAUUGUGUGAUUUUACAUUUUGAUGUGCAAUAAUAUUUGGUAGAAAUUGUUUUAUCAGCCGGUUUCCAGUCACGCUUUUGCCCCGGAAGUGACGUGGAUUACACCGGCGAUUACCGGUUUAAUAGAACUUUUUUUUGUUUUUAAUUAAUUGCUAUAUAUCCUUUUCAUUUAUUUUGUUUGUUGUCUUUAUGAAUUUUUCUAUAUUAAAUACUGUAUCUUUUUGAGGUAUAAUAUAAUUUUCCGAAUAAAAAGGGAGAUUUCCUUUUGAUUCUACUUUAUUACACUAUGGAUUUCAUUUUAAUUACUACUCGAUACGAAUCAUAUACACCUUUUAAUUUCGACGAUUUAUUUUUAGAAUGAUUAACAAACAAAUGAAACUAUAAUAUUUGUUUUUAAAAAAAGAAAAGUAAUUGUAAAACAAAAUAAAAAAAUGAGGAGAGUAAGAAUGCGAAGAUCUUCGAAUUCAUUCUUGGUAUGAUAAUCUUGACUUAACCAGUACUUGUAUGGCUAUUAAUCAUCCAAACCUUAUAACUACUCUAUCAGAAAGAAAUUCACAAAAAUUCAUAUAUAUAUGUGGUACCAACAUAAAUACGGUUAAUUAACUCUUAAGUACUAGUAUUAUUUCCUCAAUAUAUAGCACCAUAUCGUCAGGAAGACACAAACUAAAACAUUUUUAAGUUUAUAUAUAGAAAGAUUAAACUUCGAACUUUUUGAAAUAUAUUGCUACAUGUGGCAAGACAAUAUAAAUAGAAUCUAAAGAAGAUCAAAAGACAUAUAUAGCAAACGUUGGAAACACAUGCCUCAAAUAUUUUGACAUCCAUUUUUGGUACUCGCAACAUUCCACACAUGCCUAAAUGCCACUCAUGCAUGCAUACAAAAUUCUCCUCAUCUUUUUUACUAACCAAAAGUUUCUCGACCUAAGCUGCUAAGUACGUACAACACUUAAGUUUUUACACAUUUUAGCUUGUAUAUAUACAUAUAUUGAUCAUAGUGGUCGAAACAUAUUAACAUAUAUGAUAUAUCCACAUAUCUCAAAAAUGGAAAGUGAUUAUAAUUCGAAAUUAAAAGAAGAAAAAUGAAAGUCAUCAAAUGUUAGAUUUUGGGGUUAUUAGGGAUAAUAUGUAGCAAUAAUUUGGUCGCACAUACUCAUCACACGCUCAAUCAUGGCCGUUGUUGAGAACAAAAGUCAACGGCAUCAAGAUUUUUCACUUAAUUUUUUGUUCGUCUUUACUUGAUUUAUUUAUUUUCCUUUUUCAAAACUUUCCGUUUUUAUUCCAACGGUGUCCCAAAGUGGUGAACUAAAUCCAAAAGUGGGAUUUUUUUUGUUCUUUUGUUACAUAAACUAAUUCAAAAAAUAUAUAUACUUUUCUUCAACAUAUGUAUAGAAACUAGAGAAUAUAGUUUAUUUCUGUACGUAAAGAAAGAAAAAAAAAAAAGACUAACGAUUUGGUUCAAAGAAAGAAACAUGCAAUAUAUGCAAAAUGUUGCUUAUAUGAGAAAAGCUUGUGGUUACUAGUCUCUAUCUCUGUUAUUAUUCUAGAUUGUGUGUGUUUUUUUAAUGUCCCAUGCAUGGCAGUUCACAUCAUUAUGUAACAUCCGUUACUUCGUAAUCUAUCUUAAUUCUAAGACUUUAGGCGUUUUGAAAAUAAAAUAUAUGUUUUAGUUAUGUUAUCUGUAUAUAAUGAUUAACCAUGAUCUUCCUCUUUUUUUUCUUAGGUCUUUUUGUGUUCCAUUGGAAACCAAGAUGGUGAAUCACAUUUUAUUGAUGGAACAUCAAUUUCAAUUAUUGUGUCAUUUUUUUCAAACUGAGAAAAGAAAACAUACUAUUGUCUUCAAAGUAGGACAACCUUUUUGAGUUUAAAGCAAAGCACCAUUACAUUAGUAUAUGCAUAUCUCUUUAUUUAUUCCCAACAUUCUCUCCAAGAGUUUCUUAAUAACUUUUAAUUCUGUGUAGAUACAUAAUACACAUAUAGGUAUACGUCUUUCUUUGAUAUAUGAGUCGAUCUCAAAUGACUUUAGUUAUGAUGUAUACAAUAUGAAAUUAAUGCUCAAAGACGCAAUCGCUAUAGAUAGCAUGUCACCCAUACAGUAAUUCAAACAUCUAAAUGUGCGGAAACGAAAAUGACAAAAUAAGAUAUAUAUUAGUUAGGGAGGGAUGCAACGAAAUAUGCAAAACAAAAAAAAAACAAAAAAGAAAAGGGAAAGGGGAAGGAAGCUAUAGGCACGCUUUGUCCCAAAGAAAGGACCAAUUUCGAUUUUUGUUAUGAAACUCUUAUGGUAACACCAUCAUGCUAUUUCCCACUACCAUCAACUAUAUCAUCAUUCCCUUUUCACACACACACACACAUAUAACUUUGUAUAUGUAUGUAAUGUCCUUAAUUACGUUACGUAUAUAUAUAUAACUCCAGUUAGACCCGAUCCUAAAUUUUAGAAGGCCACAAGCGGGAGAAAAAAAAAAUUGAGACUGAUAUUGAUAUAUUUUUUCAUAAUUUUUUCUUCACACUUACCAUUUCUCUUAAUAAAUUUAACAUGUGUAUACUCAAGACUCGUGGAUCGUUGUCAUUAGCAAAUGUAUUACUGUAUUAUACAUGUCAUAGACUGAUCACUCGAUGGCGUUGAGACACAUAUCCAUCCACAUCUAACAAGUAUCAUAUUGUCAACUUUUAGGUAUCGUAGACAUGAAAGGAAAGAAGGAAUUUAACAGGCAUGUAAUUAAAAUAAUUACUUUUACUUCAUAUAUUAGUUUUACACUGAUAUGUAUCUGACUAAAUAUAUAGCUGACGAUGAAAGAAUGGUUAAUAAUUAGGCAAAGGUAAGGAAAAGAUAGUUGUUUAUGAAUGCAAAUUAGGAUGAUGUUAGUUUUUUAAAGAAUUAUAUGCAUGGGAUUCUCUUGAGGAUGUAUCAUUGUGCUUUAUCAACGAUUACUCUCAAUAUAAAGACCACAGAAGCAUGUAUAUAUAUACUAAUACACAUAUCUCUUUGACACGCAAUAAUUUCUUCGUAAUGAUUUUGACUCACCAAGAAAGUCAAUUUCUCAUACAAAUUGAUGAUCACAUGUAGUUAAUAUUGGCAUAUUACUUUCACUGCUUUUGUUUUGUCUUAUGGUAGAAACUAGAAACCCCUUACACUCUAUCUAAUUACCCCUAUAUAAUAAACAAAUUAUUGCAUUAUAAAAUGUUUUAUAUAAAAGAGCGAGCAAUUAAAAUCUAUAUAAUAAAAAACAACACAACUAGUAAUAAUAGAUGAUAUGCAUAGUAGUAUAUUAAAUAAAAUCAUUUACAAUUGUAGUAAGUCCAUUUUAUAAUAUGGAACGGAGAGAGAGAGAGUAUAUGGUUGAUUAAACUAGCUAGUAUAAGAAUUUGUCCCAAAAAAAAAAACUAGUAUAAGAAAUCGGUGGAAGAAUAAAAUUAAGACCACACUACAGUAAUAUAUAUGCUAUUUAUACGAUUUCUUAUUAGUUUAUAGGAAAGUAUUGAAGAUUUUUUUAAUAAAAUAACCUGGAUGGUAUAUAGCUAAUGAGACGUAUAUAGUUUAACAUGAAAUGCUACUUACUAUAUUGGAGAGAAAUUAACGAUCCCUGCCUUUGAAGCUGUAGUAACGAUUCAUAUAUUUGUUUAACAAAAAAAAAAAAAGUAACGAUUCAUAUAUUUGUCGACAGCAGGAUUAGCAAAUACUAGUAAAUAAAUAAUCUUAGUAAUAACUGUAUAAUAAUGUGAAGACAGUGUAAAAAAUAAAGUAAAGGAAAGCAAUCUAAUCAUCUAUAUUCGCAAACUCCAAGGUGCAGCCAAGGAAAAGGUGGGAAGGUUGGGAAUACGACAGAAGAACACGUCAUAUUGUUACGGUGCACUGGCACACAUAGGAUCAUAUUUUACUGGUUUUUGGACAAAACACUGUUCUGUCAGGGAAUGUCUCUUCUUCUCUUCCAAGGCUUUCAAACAAUUUAUUUAUUUAUUUUAAAUGAGUAGAUCAAUUAGUUUUGUCCUUUUUUUUUGCCUCCACAACUUAUCAUUUGGGAGCGCCCCUAGAAUGUGCUGUUUGUUCUAAAUUCAAAAUUCGUAGAAUGUGUGUGAGUCAAUUUGUUUAAACGAGAAUCAUAUCCAAUAUGGUGGUAUAUGCUUUUGAUAUUAAAAAAGAAAAACAUACUUGCAUAGUUACAGAACAUAUAAGCAUAGAGCUCCAAAUAAACAAAUAAAUAUUGUAUACUAAUACUUCUGGCUUCUUCUUCUCAGUCAUGUAAUAAAAUCAAAUAAUGGUGUGGAAGAAGAAGAAGAAGAAGAAGAAAUAUAGCGUUUUUGUGUGCCCAUGAAAAGCGCGGGACCUGUUGUGUGAGUGGUGUUCACGAGGGACGAGGAGGGAAAGAUUCUUGAUGAGUCAGGUGACACGUGGAGGGAGAUGAUUGGGUAGGCAGCUGAGAUGAUGACAUGUUGAUUUUGAGAGAGCUUUAAAGCCUUUAGGUGUCUGUCGGGCUACAGGUAGGCAAGCACAGUCCCCACCCCAUCCCCAAUAAUAUGUCUUGUCAUCCUAUUUCACCUUUCUCUCUUCUUCUUCUUCUUCUUUUUUGCAUUUUUUUUUUGGCUUUCUUUACAAAAUUUUGAAGUAACAACAACACUCACUCACGGCGGGCGGGGAAUCUCAAAGUUAGCUUGUAGGCUUAAUAACCCUGGAGGACGAUGAUGGGCUUUAGUAAACCCAAUACAAGAUUAUGGCCCAGUCCACCAUACCCAAUCGGAAUGGUGAGAGAAAUGAGAAUCUUUUAUACAAAUACUGUACUACAAUUCAAGUGUUGUAGGCUUGUAGCUACAAAUACUUGAAUACUUGAUAGCGUCGUGUGACCUAUCAGCAUCCGAUUCUGUUUCUCUCUAACACGUUGUUGGCUGUAUUUAAAAUAGUGGUUUCAAAAUCCCCCCACAUUCACAUCCUUGGAUACACAAUAGAAAAGCGACUCAACGCAGAACAAUGGAAACCAAUGUGUCAACAGUCAAUCUGCUCAUAUUGAGAAUAAAAUGGUAUAUCACUCACUAAACACAUGUGAGUUAAAAAGGAAGACACUUUGGAUUGUUCCUUACUGUGUUAUGUAAAAGCCAAAUUAAAAAAGAAAGAAAAAGAAAGAAGGAUGAUAUGAAGUGUGGUCACUAGCUGAUGAGUAUGCCAUUGUUUGAUGUGACUCUAUUUUCCUUUAGGUGAAAUAAAAAGAGCAGCCAGUCCAAUCGGUUUCUUCUUUUUAGCGUCAGCAGAGAAUAAAAUAUAUCCUAGUCAUCUAUUAUUAACGUUUUUUUUUCUUUUCUUCCAAAUUAAUAUAGCAAAACAAAGAACGUACCAAAACUGAUGACUUCCAAUAGCAGCAUUUUAGUCCCCUUUCUUUCGUAACUACUAGUGUUGUUGUUAAUCACAAAAAAAAAACAGUCUUCGGGUUCGGCUUUAUAUAUAGCUUUGUCGAACCAAGUUUUUUACUUAUUGUCAUAAUAAUAAUGUUUUGUGAUUAUUAUGUAUGAAUACAAAUGUGAAAAGCAAAGGAAGGAAUCAAAUAACAAAUGUUGUUUGUUGGAGUGUCAAUUGCAGCAGCAACUCUACUACUGCAACCCUACGAGCUUAGGUUUGCCAUUUUGCCUUCAAAGACGACGACUAUUUGAAACUGCGACUACAAAACGGCCUUUUAAAUUUUGUUUCUCCAUACUAUAUGAUGCUCUACUAAAGAGUAAACAUUUUCUCUUGUACAGAACCAACCACAUCAACUACUCUUUUUACACCACCUUCAUUCAAAAUUUCAAAUCAACCCCCCCCCCCCCCAACUCCUAUUUCAUAUAUAUCAAUCGAAAUAAUGGUUUGUAAGCUGAAUUCUUAACUAAACCCAACUCACAUCUACCACUUUACCAUCAUAAUAAUACGCUUUAACACCCAACCAACAUGUGUUUUUGAUCUUCUUCUGUGCUAGAGGGAGUGUGUGUAGUGGGACGAAUGAUGAUGAUGAUGAUGAUGAUGAUGAUAGUACGAAGUUUAAGGGGAAUGUUGGGGGAGGGUCCAUAUUUCUAUGAGUGAAUUUUUUAUUUUAUACUGAAUGUCUCUUUGAAUUUUAAAUUGCUAAGGUUUUAAUUUGUGGUCUCUUACAGUUCGGCUAAGUGUGUGUGUUUCCUAAAUGACAAACAAAGAACCAAAACGAUUUGGUUACAAGUGUCCUUUUUCUUCGUAUUCUUCACAAAAAGGGUUUAAGUACAACUUUAUUAUAUAUAUGCAUAAUAUAAUAUGGGGUUUUACACUAGACAUGGUGAUUACUAGCGGAAUGGUACUACUACUAGUAAAGUUAAUGGGGGGGGGGGGUUUUGUUUCGGUUGGCUACAGUACACACUACCAAAUUGAGAUGACCAUUUCUCGGAAUUUGGUAGCUAUGGAGAGUAUUGUUGUACUGUACACCAGUACUGGUCUUCUUCACACUAGUAUUAAAGUCUUUUGGUUUGUGACACUCUUAUAUAAUAGACAACAAAUCUUGAGAUGUCAUAAAUUUAGGUAACGAACAGCUGAGAUUGAUUCAAAAGAGUUCAAAAUACGUACACUAUCCAUCCCCAACCCAACCAAGUUAAUUCAUAUUUAAUACUAGUUUUUAGAAAAAAGGAGAAACCAAAAUAGUAAACACCCAGAUUGAAGUUUAACCCUCUCCCAUCUUUUAAAAUUUGGAUGAAAAAUUUAUAAUCUCUUGUCUUCAAAAAAGUAUCUUGGGUACUCACUCCUUGGACUAUAAUUAUUGCCACGAGGAUCCACCACCACCAGAUGCAGCAGAAGUAGUACCAGCACUUAACAUGCCAUAUUCCAAAACCCAACAGACUGGUCAGCUUCUCCUUCUUCUUUCUCCUCCUGUCCACGAUCACUAUGAUCAUCAUCCUCUUUCACAUUGCCACCACUGUUGGUGCUUGGUGAUGAUACUGGAAGCUUCAGGCUCUCAAAUGGCAGUAAAGGCCUUCCACUAUUAGUAGUAGCAGUAGUGGUGCCACUGGACCCCUCUUCUUGAUGCAGAGGAUCCCCACCAUCAAGAAAGAACCCCAAAGCUGGUCUCAUGAACUCUUGAAACUGUGGGUAACUGAGACCAAACCCAGAUGCUGUGUAGACGGAUGAAUCGUGAACAUUUGGGAAAGACAUGAAAGCAGGGCGAGAGUUAGAGGAAGCGGAGAUCCCUAAAAGCUCCAAAGCCGAGGAGGUUGAGACAAGUGGGUUGUUGUUGUUCUUCAUGCUGCUGCUGCUGGGUGUUACUUGCAGAAACUCAGGAAUAGUGUGAUGUUGAUGAUAAGCAAUCCCAAACCCUUGAGAAAACGCCAAGUUGAGAUCUUUAACCUCGUGGGCAUUCCCAAACCCCGGAGAAAAGGUCAAGUCUUGAACUUUAGCAGCGGCUUCACCAGUCUUAGGGUUCGGCGCAGGUGAGUUGGUGUUGAUGGCAAGAGGAGGUUUCUUGGGUGAAGAGGAGGAGGAGGAGGAGGAGGGGGAAGAGGAAGAUCUCUUGGUCUUCCUGAUGCCGCCACCGACGGGGAUGUUCCUGAGAGAACCACCUUGGGUCCAAUACCUGCGGCAGUCCUUACAGAAGUACCUGGGCUGAGUGAGGCUGUAGUUGUUGUAGUAGCAGAACUUGGUGUUGAGAGAGUUGCAUCUAGGACAGUUGAAAGAUUGGUCUUUCUCGGGUCGUGCCUUCCUCUCAGCGGGAGUAGCAGGAGGAGGAGGAGGAGGAGGGUGUUUCAGGCAUGAGUUUGUGACGAUCUCGUUCAUUGGCUUCACAACAAACUCCUGUAUAUUUAUGUUUAGAAAUUGCAAGAAACAAAGAAAACAAUACACGAUUAUUCUCGUUUUCACUUUUUUGAUCAGCUUCCAAUUUUUAUUUAAUAAAAAUAAAAAAAAGAUGGGGACUGGUCAAAACAAGAAUGAUAAAAGGAAGAACGUGAAAAAGAUACCUGAGGCCAUUGAGCAGUGUCCAUGGCAAUGGAAAAAUUCAAGCUGAUAAAAAAAAAAAAACUGUGAAGAAGAAAGGAGAGAAAGGGAAAGCUAAGCUGAGGGGAGAGAGAGAGAGGAGAAGUGUGUGUGGGAAAGGUAAAGCUGGUUUUCGAAAAAGCAAAGAAGAAGACGAAAAAAGAGAAUUUUUAAACAGGAUUUUAAUUUUUUUAAAUAGAAAAAAGAUGGUCACUUGUAAAAAGAGAAGAAUAUAAAAAUUGGGAAAUUGGAUAGAUACACGUAAAUAGUGUGUGUGGGGGGGCUUUUGAUGGAUUCUUCGUAUGAGAGAGGUUUGGUGGUUUUGGUCUGAGUCUCUGACACACAACACACAGAGAGACAAGUCUGAAGUCUGAAAGUAUUAUUAUUUAUUAUGCUAUCCUCCUCCCCCGCCGUCCCACGAAUCUCUUUUAGUACUGUAUUAUUAGUAAAUUUUAAUUAUCUCUCUCAUCCUUUUUUUUUUUUUAUCCGUUAUUUACUCACAUAUACAGUAUAUAUAAAUUAGCAAAAAAAUACUAUUCAUAAAUUAUGACAUAACCACGACACGUAGUGUAUAAAUUAUGAGCUUUGUUUUUGAUAAAGUAGUGUAUAAAUUAACUAGCGGUUUGCUGCGUCUGUGAAAGGCUGAGUUGACGACCGGCGGCAAACUGCAUCCGUCCGUCAGACUUUUUGGGGCAUCACAGCGCUGAGACUACUGACGAACCCAUCGCCAUAUAUAUAUACACAGCGUGCCAGUUAAUCUUAAUUAUGACAUAACCACGACACGUGUCUCUUUCUUGAGCAUUAGGACUCCACCACCACAGGGAAGACUGAAGAGAGAGAGAGAGCAUUUGCACUGCUGCUGCACCCCCAUAAUUAACAAUUAUAUAUAUAUAUAUAUAUAUAUAUAUAUAUCAAAGUAAUUUACGACGUACACUCUGUGUAAAUCUAGAUAUAGCCCCACCCCCAGUUUAAUUAAUUUGGCUUUAUUUUCUGGCCGUAGAAGAAGAAAGAAAGAUGUAUCCAUCCAUCCUCUCUUCUCAGCCUUCCGAUCGAGCCGACCAUCUUCUUCUUUUGCCAUCCACCUCAGCAUCUACGUACCCUUUUGCCAUCCACCUCAGCACUAAUUAUUCUUCUUUCCUUUUCUUUUUUAUUUAUUAUUAUUAUUACAUUGUUAGACUAACUAUACACAUUCUUCAUUUUCCCUUUUAACUUCAACAAGUUCUUCACAAUUGCUGUUGUUUGUCUGAGUUAGUUUAUAGGUUGUAAGAUCAUCAUCAAUACAUGUUGGAUACCAUUUAUAUAGAAGAACGUACAUCUUUGUAUAAUGUAUAUAUUGACUCUUAUUUCCUCCAUGUGCCACUUCAAUAGCGACAUCUAUUGCCAAUAUGGUAAACGCUUAUGUUUUAUACCCGACCUUUUUUUUUCUAAUUUCAUUUUCUUAAUAUUAAAGCAUGCACAUGAUGUCAAAUAUUCCAUUAUUAAUUAUUAUUUGUUUAAGAAGAGUACCUAGUAUGGUAUCAUAUGCUUUUUAUAAAAGAUAUUGAAUUGAUCCAAGUUUAACCUAAUAUGCAUAUGGCACAUCUCACAUGUCAAAUGCAUGGCUUGUGUGAUGACCGAUACUACAAUUGUCUGCCUUGUCGUCAUAUCAUAUCAUAUGGCAUGCUAGCUUUGAUAUAUCUAAUAUUUGCGUACGCCACUAUUUUUUAUUGUCCUGGUUUGUUAAGUAUCUUAUCGAAGACCGAUCCAUAUCCGUCUUGUAGGUAUGUUCAAUCACAAGUAGGCCAUUUCAUCUGUUAGUUUCUUCUUUUACGUACGUAUCAACAACUACCAAUACCUAUCUAAAGUACUACUUUUCCUAUCUUAAAAACUUCUGUGUUAACAAUAAUAUAUAAAAGUAUAUCUUACAUACAACAUUGUCAUUAUAGAAUUCAGGUCGAUCAUAAUAUUGCAUUUUGUAACCGAAAAUACGAGAUAGAUGGAUAAUAUACAGAAUUACUAUAUUUAUGUUAUGUAUUUAAGCCAGAUGCAUGGUGUAUGCGAAUGAUGUGGACGUAUAUAUAUAGCAACUAAACUAAGCAAAGCUAUUGUAAAUGGGACAAUACACUAGCGUUGGUAUCUAUAGCUAGAAUCCAUUAUUAUUUUAGAAAUCUAGAUUUUUGGGACAAAGACAACCAACCAAUGUGGCUCUUAGUUUUGUCUAAUAUGGUGAUCGUCCACUUAUAAAUGGUUACCCAAAUAAAAGAAACCAUUGUGGAAUUUCUAUAUAAGUUUGCAUGUAUUAAAUAUUUGAUUAGAAAACAUUGACUUAUAGAAUACACAAAUCUAAUGAUACUUAGAGAGAUAUAACUGUUAGCAUAAAUAAAUAAUGACUAGCUCAAAUCAAUUUUUUUUUUUUCACCCUGCUUAUAUAGCUUGUCAGUGAAAGCACUAUAAAGCCAUUUGAUAUUUUGAAAGGUGCUCGCUUACUGUAAGGUCAUUUUUUGUGAAUAUCAAUAUCAAGUUUGGACUUUGGAGUAGGUAUUUGUGUAUAUAACCUGCGGUAAUCCCAUAGUUAUAAAUUUGAUGACUAAUUAACAACAAAAAAAGAAAAAGAAAGGAAGAGCUUGUGUCAUGUUCUUGAAUCGGAUCUAAAUAUGGAUUAGAGAAAGAACCAUAUGUGUACUCGAGCAAUUUACCUUUUUGUUGUUGUUGUUGUUGUUGUUGUGUGCAACUUGCUUGAGCAAACUACUAUAUAUAGCACAACGUACAAAGCAUAUUAUUAUCUUUAGGAAAAAAGAGAAAUAUUUCAUUAUGUAAUUAUUUGUAGUUGAAUCAGAUAUAUAAUGAGCAGUGAGUGACUUAGAGUAUUUAAAAACAAUCCCCCGAGAAUAAAGGGCGAGAGGAGAGCCAUCGUAGGAUUUUUUGGACCACAUCCGCCAACUGGACAAUUGGUUAGUUAUCUAUCCCCCUUACUUAUAUGAUUAUACAGUUGAUUGGUUGGUCCUACGUAUAAAACACAUUCCCCUAGUUACUACUGUAGAAGUGUAGAGUCUUGUGGUUUAGGGUUUGACUCCAAACCUUCCUUAGCACACCAUAUAUAAUAAAAUGUUUUUGGUUCACUAUUUUGGAUCGGUUAUGUAUGCGUGCAUUGCAUCCAGCAUAGCAACAUUCAGCGUCCGGGAUUUGGUAUUGAAUUGAAUAAAACAAACACCAUUUUCGGUAUCAAACAUUUCAUAGAUUGCAAAUUUGACCAAUUAAAAUCUUAAAUGAAAACGUUACAAAAUUAUUGUUUAGACGUAUAGAAUGGGGCGUCACAGCCGGUUCUUAGAUAGAAGGUAGGAAAGUAUGAUCGAGUCUAUAAAAGAAAUCAAGUGACCAGACUUGUCGUUUACAUUUACUUUUAGCAUACGUACGUGUAAGUUGUGUCAUCAUAGCACGUGUUCUUGUUCUUGCCUUAUAUUGGGUUAGAAAACAUAACCAUUUUGCAUCAAAUUAAUACAGUACAGUUCGAAAUUAUAAUGUUUAAUUUCAGAUGGUAAUAUGAAUAUCGUUAUCAUCAUGUUCUCCCCUUUCCCAAUAAAUAUCGUUAGACACGUUCUUUUUGGUUAGGGUUCUUCAGCUUAGAGAGUUUCUUCUACAUUAGAGCCCAUUUAAGAGUUUUCAUGAUGAUUAAGAAAGCCCAACAAUCACACCCACGAGGCCGCGACCACAAGGAUUGAACUCACGACUCUUUCUUCUACGACUCCGCAGUCCGCACCAUAUUCAUAUUUUGUUUUUAUUCCUUCUAAUUUAACAAAUUUUGUUUUUAUUAUUCACUUGCACAUUUUUAUUUCCAUCUACGAUUAAUCAAAUAAUAUUAUACGAUGAUAGUAUAUAUAUAUUGGUUUCUAACCAAUUAAUUUCAACAAUACUUUGGCCGUGGAGGCUUCAAAUUAAUAAAUAAUUUUAUUAGUUGGGUGAGCUGGGGUUGGGAAUAUUUAUUUGUUCAUGGAUGGAUGAACUAUUAUUAUACAUAUACUAUUGUCAACAAAAUACAAUUAGAAAAACACGUUACCUUACGUUACGUGUGCCUAAAUAUUUUUUAGUACACAAGAAAGUUAUGUAUAUAUAUAUAUAUAAUGACUUGAAUAAAGAAGAAGAUUUAAAAUAGUUUUAUUAGUUGGGUUCUUUAAAAAAGGUUUUGUUACAGUUUAAAGUAAAAUGAUGAAUCAGAGCGUAAUAUUUGUAUCAGUGUGACGGUAAUAAAACUAAUUCUUACUCACUAAAAGAAGUUUAAGAAAAAAUAUGAAAGUAUAAGUUGAUCGAUAAUGUAAUUUUUUUUUUAAUUUUUAAAAGGCGUUUGAAGUCAGAGAGUGGAAGUGAAUGACAAUUAAAAAUAAAAAAAUGAAAAGAUAGAAAAAUAAUUUCCAUAUGAAACGUUUAAUUCGUAAACAUCGAAGAAGAAGAAGAAGAUGAAGAUGAAGAUGAAGGAUAUAUGUUUAUAUAUAAGUAAACCUCUUUCCAUUUCCACUAAUAAAAACCCCAAAAAUUUGGAAGAUUGUUACCUUUUCUUUGUGAGUUAACUGUUAUUAACUCAAAAAAAAAAAAAAAAAGAUCACCACAGCUCUCUCUCUCUCAAGUCUCAAGUCUCAAGUCUCAACGAAAGAGCGCGACUCGAAGAUCGAACCGACACAUAUUUUCAUUCAUACCCCUUUCCUUUCCUUCCCUUCGUUGGGUUUUUAAUAUCCCUCCUUUCUUCUUCGAUUCUGACUAAAAUUUUGCUGGUUUUGAUUAUUUAAGAAAGAUCACAGUGACUCGAUUCUACAAAUUUGGGUGGGGCUUCUUUGGUAAUACAGGUAAAAUCAUAAUCCUCUUUUGACCAUUUCUUCCUUCCUUCUUCCUUCUAUUUGUUUGUUUCUUUUGCAUUACUUUCAAGCCAUCUCUUCCCUUGAACCACUUUUUUUUUUGUUUUGUUUUAAGUUAGGUUACGAGUUCUUCUACAAUUCAACUAUGUAUGUAUUCCUUUUCCCUUUCUUUUAUGGCCAAAAUUUUACAUUUUUUUAAUUUGAUUUGAUUUUUGGUCUUUCGUUGACUCUGCAUUCCCCUGUUUAACCUUUUUUCCCCUUAAGAGGAAUUUUCAAAAUUGUCAUUCUUUUUCCAACUAAUCCACGAGUCUCUCUCUCUCCACAGCCUCUGUGAUUUUUUUUUUUUUUUUUUUUUUUGUCGACAGCCUCUGUGAUUCUAAUGUAUGAUUUUGAAUAGUACGAAAGCAUGAUUCUUUCUUUCUUUGGCAGCCAAAGUUGAAGUCUUUCUUUCUUACCCGUUUCCUCUCUCUCUUUUUCCUUGGAACAGAGGGUGCGAGUCAUGGGUACUCCUGCUACUCUUGGUGACGAAGACGACGAUGACCGCUUCUUUGAUGCCCACCAACACGACUUUUCUUUACAUCUUUGGACCACUUCUCCUGACUGUGUUUCCAACCGCCGCCGCAACUUCCUCCAAUCUAUGGGCUUUAGUUUCAAAAAGUCUGCUUCAGACGAUUCUCUACAUGAACUUCUACCAUCUCCCCACGCUGUGUCUCAAGUUGCUACCGUCUCUUCUAUUGAAGCUGUGAAAGAAGUUGAUCUCUUGCUGAGGAAUGAAUCUACUUCCUCCUCUGUCUUUGAUAUUUCCUCUGUUUCAUCGUCAUCUGAGGAUGCAGAUGAUCAAACCUUGUUGUCCAGGAAUGAUUCCUCCACUAGUACUAGUACUAUUAUGCCUCUGGGCUUGAGUGAAUCCGGCUCUAGUAAAUCCGGUAGCUUUGGCGAUUUCCAUGACUCUCCAUCGAGCCGAAGAGAUGAUUUGCUCAGUAAAGGGGCUAAAUCUUGGUUAAGGAAGCUAGGUGCUUUGACACAUGUCCUUGAGUCUAUGGACUGUGAAUCUGUGAGAUCACCAUUGCAUCAUGUUGCGCGAGUGCAGACACACAAGAAGCAGUUCAAGGAGCUCUCAUCUCUAUGUGUUGAUCAAGACUUUUCAGCGCAUGAUGGCUCCAUCUUAGCCAUGAAGUUUUCUCCUGAUGGGAAAUACAUUGCAAGCGCUGGUGAAGACUGUGUUGUCCGAGUUUGGGCCAUCACUGAGCGAGAGAGAACACAAAAGUAUGAAGUAGCUGAGGUUGAUUCUGGUGUCUACUAUGGGAUGAACCAACAUUCUCAGAUUGAGCCCUUGAAGAUUAAUUGUGACAAAACUGAAAAGAAGACCUCAAGUUUUUUGAGGAAGUCACCAGACUCAACUUACGUUGUGUUACCUCCUACUAUCUUCAGUAUAUCGGAGACGCCUCUGCAUGAGUUCAGAGGUCAUAGAGGUGAGAUCUUAGAUCUUUCCUGGUCUGAGAAAGGGGUAAAUAUCUUUUCAAACUCUUCCUUAACAUUUACACAGUCUUUGGUUGAAAACAUCUCUGCUUACAGUUACCCCUCUUUGCUGCAGUAUCUCCUCUCAUCUUCUGUGGAUGAGACUGUUCGUUUAUGGAGAGUAGGUUCUGAUAAAUGUCUCAGCACGUUUACUCAUAACAACUUCGGUGAGCUUCUCCUGUACUGGUGCCUUUUACUACUUUCAUUCUUUUCUUUUUCUUUUUUUCCAUUUGCUGUGUAUUCACUUUUCAUCUUCUUACACAGUGACUUGUGUGGCAUUCAACCCUGUGGACGACAAUUACUUUAUAAGCGGAUCUAUUGAUGGGAAAGUUCGAAUAUGGGAUGUGUCUCGUUGUAGGGUUGUUGACUACACAGAUGUAAGAGACAUUGUUACAGCUGUGUGCUACCGUCCAGAUGCAAAGGUAUUUUGAAAGACUUGAAUCUUAAGAUUAAACUUAUUUUCAUAUGAGCAGUUGCUUACAUUAUAGUGUUUUUCAGGGUGCAGUAAUAGGUUCCAUGACAGGGAACUGUCGCUUUUACCUUAUAUUCGGUAUGUUUUCAUCUUACAGAUCACUUACUUACUUCUUAAUGAGAGUGAGUGUAUCAUUUAUUUGUUCAUGUUGUGUAUUUCAGAUAAUCAGCUGCAAAUGGACAAAGAGAUCAACGUGCAUGGUAAGAAGAAGGUUGCAAGCAAAAGGAUAACUGGUCUUCAGUUUCUUCCCAGUGACCCGGAAAAAGUAAUGGUUACUUCUGCUGAUUCACAGAUUCGCAUUUUAUGCGGAGAGGAUGUAAUCUGCAAGCUUAAAGGUCAGGAACUGUUAUAACUGUAGAUGAAUGAUUGCAUUUGGUUAGAUAUAAGAUUUAUGAUCGAAACUUUCUUUUGUGCUUGCAGCUUCUAGUCUUCGCACAACAUCUGCUUCAUUUAUUCCUGAUGGGAAACAUAUUGUCUCAACAUCAGAGGAUUCUUGCAUUCAUGUGUGGAACUACUCUCAGUUACCGAGUAAGAAACCUUCUUCAGGAAUAAAAAGCACUCGGUCUUACGAGGGCUUUCUCUCACACAAUGCGUCUGUAGCUAUACCUUGGCUCCGACAAGGACACAGGGAUGAUCUGUCUGAAUGUAUCAUAGAUCUGGACAGGAAGAUACCGAAAGUGGACUGUUUCUCUCCGAUGAAAGGAUCAACAACGUGGCCUGAAGAGAAGCUGGAAGAUGCUGCAAUGAGCAACAGAGAGAAACUGAAGCUUCUGAGGAGCGCAUGGCAGCCUCACCUGUGGGGGCUUGUGUUUGUGACAGCGACAUGGGAUGGAAGGAUCAGAGUAUUUAACAACUAUGGUUUGCCAGUUCGGGUCUAAAAGACAUACAAAAGUUAUUAGAUAGGAUUCUUUUAUUUGUUACUUAGGAGUAAAAUAUGUAUACAUAUUACACAAAUGUCUCAAAAAUCUUUUGUCCACUAUUUUUGGUAAUAAUAUUUAUGGAGUGAUUUUAUGCAAUCGUGCCCUAAGCCUGAAAGUGUUAUUACUGUUUUUUUUCUGCCCAAAAUCAGUGCCUACAAGUUUCUCUGUAUCUCUCUAUGGAAAUAUUAUUUUACCACUUGCUAAUUCUAAGGCCAGGCACCCCAUUUCUGGUCUUGAUCUGGUCGACACCACUCAGUAUCUAUUUGCUUCUCUUUGCCACUUUCUUGUUGAGUCGUGAGAGGCCAUAAGUCUCCCCAAAAGGAUUUCUUGGCCUGCAAAUGAAGAUCCGGGUUCUUGCUUUUUGUUAUCACUCUUCUUUCAAAUGCUCCCUCUGAACCAUCCUCUUUGGUUGGCACACACAUAUCUAAGGUCACUUGUUUCCCUUUGCGGAAUGGAGGGAAUAUGAUUCUUCCCCAUCCGCCUCCCACACUCGCUCUCUCACCCUCACCCUCCUCUUCCUCUUGAUCUUCCUCUUCAAUAUUGUCUUCCAUAUCCUCAUCAGUACCUUCACCAUCUUCACCAUAUUCCUGUUCUUCCUCCUCAUCCACGGUAUCAGAGUCAUAUUUUCUCGGAUCUAUGUAAGGCACUUCAACCACUUGUGAUUUGAUAAAGUCCUCUGCACAUAUCAAAUGGGCUCAAAGCUUAGAAGGGUCAAAAGCUAGAUAUGUGUAUGGUUUUCAUAGGUUAACAGCAAACUUACCAUAAUCAAUCUCUAGAUCCGCGGGUUUCUUAUUUGCGCGUCUCUCCUUCAAUGUCUCCAACUUCAUUCCGUCAAGAGGCCACAACUCCCUAAAUAGAAGUCAUAACCAAAACCCCUUAACAACAUUUCUCCCAAGCUACUAAUGAUAGUUCAUUCAACAAUACAAAACUACCAACCGUGGGCGCUGACCUCUCCUGAAAGCCACAAAAGAAAACUUUUCAUCCUCGAACCCACGUAGGGGAACACCUUUUGUACGCUGCAAAAGGUAAAUGUAUGGAUUUGGUGUCAUCAUCAAACAUAGAGAAAACUAAAAUCUAUAUAUUUUUUGUAGACAAGUCUUAGCAAAAAUAUGGAACCUUGUAGGAACGCUGCGAUGAAGUUCUCUGCAACCGCUGUACAAAAUGGCAGUACUUUCCAGUGUUUUCCAGUGGGCACUUUCCGUCAUGAGGGCACUGCAUAUGCAACCCCCUCCUUUGUAUUACAAUGCAUUCAUGUAAUCGUUUUCAUAAAAACUGUAACAUCAAGUCCUUGACUUAGUGUUUGACAACUGGUUUCAGGAGAUAUAUUGACACUUACUGGAGCAACAAUAUGCGCACCAGAUUUGAGAUCGAGCACGUCCUUCCCAAGUUCACCGUUCUUCAAUUUCUUUUCCAGUUUACGUAGUUUCUAAGACAAAAUGAAUACAUUGAAAAUAAGCAGAGAGGACUAAAAAAAAAUCGACAACAGAGUUCAUUAUAUGAGUUAUGAAUGUAUUUGUAUGCAGAAGUAAUUACCCUCUUCUCCAUCCACAGUAUAUGAGACCGCAUCUGAGAUAUAAUAUUAGCACCGUGUGGCGUUCCUGGUUCAAUCAAAACCUAUUCAACCACAAUUUACAAAAAGAAUCAGUAAAGCUCAUUAAUUUCAACAAAUGAAAAUGCAAGAGCAUAUUUGAGGAGAGGUAGACGUUCCACUAGAAGAGAAGUUAUUGAGGAAGUCAAAAACAUACCAAGAUAUCAUCUGUAAGGUCCCAGAGCUGGCGAACCACAGUAAUCCUGUCUUUCAGAGAUGGGAUCUCCCCUAAAACAUAGGACUUGACCACCACAGGAAAACAUUAGGAAAUUUACUCAGUAAAAAACAAACUUGUACAGAAGAAUCACAGAUGAUGUGACUGAUAAAAGAAAUAACCCACAGCGAUGACAAGAUCAUGUUUCCUCUCAGACUUUUCGUUGAUUUCUUUACACUUUUUGCUGAUCUCUUUACUAAGAGCUAGCAGGCUAGUAUACCCGUGGAUCAGAGGCAAAUCCUUGAGGCCUAUCGUAUUCAGAAUAAUGGUAAGAUAAGAAUCAAAAGAUGCAGUUAAGUGUAGUAACAGCUUUGCAAGACGCUAUGAAAGUGAAUUACCCUGAAUUAAGUUACGUCCUGCACGCUGCAUUGACUGUGAUGGUUCCACUAUGUUUACUUUCUCCACGGACUUUGGCCAAACCUCUUUAACAGCCCUACAAGAUGUUACAACGAAUCAAGAACAAAACAAAUAAAAAAAGGAUCAGAACAAAUAAGGAAACAUCUAUCCAUCUCCUCACCAGAAACCAGAACCGGUGCCAGCACCAAAAUCCAGCACUCUUGUAGGCGUAAAACCCGGUAAUCUUCGACGAAUCUAUAUAACAAGGUUUACAGUCUCAACCUCAGUAUCUUCUACACAUUUAGCUCAGGACUACUAUACCAGAUGGUAUCACACAUGAUCAAACAAUUUUAGCUAAAUGCCUAAUAAUAAGAAAUAGAGAAAUUGACCUCAAUGAGUACUCUGUAGCAGACGGAGAAAACAGCGGGCAUACGAGAAGCAAUGUAAGCAGCGGUCUCACCGUCCUCGUAUUGGAGACCACUAUCUCCAUAAACGGUCUGUAUCUUCCACCGCUUGGUCUCAACCGAGUUCAUAGAAUCUGCUAGGCUCUUGGCAGUUGUUUCAGGUAGCUGCAGAUUCGUAUCCUUGAUCUCUUGGAACGAUUCUGAUAACUGGCGGACCUUCUUCCUAAUGUGCGGAUCAUCUUCCUCGCGAAGAUAUUUCUUUAUAGCGCGGCGAAGAGGGACGGGGACUACGAGGCACCGGAGAGACUGUUUGGCUGCAGACCUUAGGGUUUCGACCGUGAAGACUUUCUGGGCAUUCGCCAUUAUCAAGCCGGAGAGCUUAAUGGAACAAGUUGCAGGAGCCUCCGAGGUUUUAGCCUCCGAGGAGGGUCUGUCUAGGGCUUAGUGCCAUGGGCCUUUCAAAGACCAAAUUGUUAUUUCAUGGGCCUCAAAAGCCCUUUAAUAUAGCAGCCAAUUAUGGAGUAGUCCUACUUUUGAAUAGUGGUGGUUGCAUGUGGUUUUCAGAGUUCAGACCAAACAAACCGUGCAUGUUUGGCUUCCGGAUACGAUUUCAUUCCAUUGAUCAAUAGAGAUAAACAAAUUUUAAUAAUAUAGUCAGUACCAAAAUCAUGAAAAAAUUAUAUCAUGGUGUCUUUUUGAUUGAUGUAUAUAGAUUACAUAACAAGGACCUAGCUAUUACAUAACAAGGACCUAGCUAGCUAGCUAGGAUUACAAAACCCUAUAAACUAAUAGAUUUGUACAUGUCGGGACAUAUCACAACCACAUAUACAUAUAUAUGCACACCUACACACACAAACGGAACUUAUGGUUUUGGCCCAUUAUACUCAUCUAGUAUUUUAUAUAUAUUGCUAUCUAGAUGUAUAUAUAGGACGACAUAUAUUAAUUAAAGGGCUUGGAGAUAUACACAUAUGAUAUAGGAAUUGGGAUGGUUGUUGGUUAAAAAGGUAGCAUCAGGGAGAAGUGGAAGCUUGAGCAACCAACAACUCAGAAGCAGUCCAUAGCCUUUGAGCUUUAAGAUUGCAUGAUCCGGAUUUAGAUGUCCGGGCUUCGUUGCAGUCUGAGAAAUACUUGCCAGACACGUUCUCCAAUCUCGGACUUGUGGCCACGUAACAUGUCGUAGCUGCCGCCUGAGGAACAGACUUCAAAAGCUUGGAGGUCAAGAAAAACACUAAAUCUGUGACGAAGCCAUCUCGGUCUCUUGUGAGGCGGGUUCUCACGAUACCGGGAUGAACACAAUUGGCCGUCACAUUAGCAUCCAUUUUCUGCCAAAUAUAUAUAUAGUACAUUUAGUUAUUUGGUUUUUAGAAAAUAAAGAAAAUAAAAGGGUUGAUAAAUAUAUAUACACGAAAAGAGAGAAAAGAACGUACAUGGAGAAGACGGGAGAGCUCAAGAGUGUGGAGCACGUUGGCUAGCUUAGAGAGAGCGUAAGCUCGAGUCGCGUCGUAACUCCUAUAGUUAAAAGAGACAACACGACGCAAGUUAUACAUUAAAGCUAGCUGGUCAACAAACUAAACUAUACUAAAGUGACUCCCAAACACACAGAGAUUACUAUUUUAUUGAUUAUUCUCUCUACAAUUAUUAAAAGGGACGAGGAGGACGACGGCGUUUAUUUUUUUGUCGUCGCAUCUCACCUUUUUUAUGUGUACUUUGAUUAAUCAAAUAAUUCAUUGAUUAGUUAAUAAUUCGUACAAAUGGAAUGAUGAGAGUAUUAUUGGUUAUUAUUUGAUUGGAAUUUUAAUGAUUAGAAAAAGAAAUUGUUUAAAUAAAAGAAAAGGAAAUACCUGUAGUUGCGGGAAAUAUCGGCGAGAUAAUGCAACAUAUCACCGGAAAACCAGCUAUGGAUGACGGACGUGACGUUGACGAUACGGCCUUGAACGCCGGUGAGUGCCGCCGUUUCAAUCAUCUUCUUCAACAAUAGUUUCGUCAGCAGAAAAUGGCCUGAUUAUUUAAUCAUUGGUUAUCAAUUAAUUAGUUGUUAACAAAAUGAUCAAUGAUUAAUAUAUGUAUGUAUGUAGAGAGAAAUAUAAAGAAGUAAAAGUACCGAGAUAAUUAGUGGCGAAGGUCAUCUCCACACCGUCCUCAGAGAUGGCGUGCUUGUGCGCGUAUUUCCCGGCAUUGUUUCUAAUAUAUAUACAACACACCAAAAUUUGUUUAAUCAGCUACAUGAAAAUUACGUAACAUGACUGAUAUUUAUGUAUAUAGAAGUGUAUAAUUAAGUUAACGUACAUGAGGAUGUUGAGUGGGAGAUUAAGAGAUUCGAAGUCGGCUACGAAUCGACGAACAGAGGCGAGGGAGCUGAGAUCGAGAUGCAUAACGAUGAUCUCCGACUCCGGAAACUCCGACUGUAUCCGACCCUUCGUUUCCUCGGCGGUUUUGAUACUCCGAGCCGGAAGCACUAGCCUCGCCCCACGCUUUGCCAGAACACGCGCCGUCUCCGCUCCUAUCCCGGACGUCGCCCCUUGUAAAGACAAAGUAACAGAAGAAGAAGAAUAAGCUAGCUGCUGACAUGAUUUGUGAUAUUUGAAACAGAAAGAAUAGGUAAAACCAUACCAGUGAUGAUGGCAGUAAGAGAACGGAGAUCAGAGUUGGCAGUGACAUGAUCCGCCGUGGAUCUUGAUCCGAAUCCGCUGGGGCCACCGGACCCGAUCAGGUGUUUAACCGUCUCAACCAUCUUUUUUUUCUGUUAUGGGAGGAGAGAGAGCUAGCAGAGUAGUUGAGUUAAUGAGUGUUGGGGGGGUUUUUGUGUUGUGUCUUAGUUAGAGGGUGGGAGGCUAUUUAUAGUGCUACCGUCUUUGAGGAACUAACGGGUGAGAGAUGCGGAGAUAGGAGACAACAUUUUCCUAUGUUGUGUCAUUUUGUAAAUUUUUAUUUUUAAAAACGAGUUAAAAAUAACACCAUACGAGACGAGUGAGUGUAUAAAAAUAUAUUGUUUCUGAUUAGCACCAAAAACAGGAUAAAAAUGGAAUAAUUCGAUUAUAAUAAAAUGUUUAGUUAGCCAACUCUAUUUGACUAACAUGAAUUUUGUUGAGGAAGAUGAGUCAUAUACCAAAACUUUUAUAAUUGGAAUUGAAGGUCAUUACAAACCAUAAUCUUCCAAACUCAAAAAACAGUAAUAUAGGAAGCUCACGAAACAAAUGCAUAGAUAGUGCCAUGUUUUGGGUAACACUCACUAUUUACUAAUCAUCCCCAACCUUUCUAAUGGUAUCAUUCUCCGAAUCUUUUACAUUUUUAAUUAUGGUCCCCUCCUAAUCUCCUUUCCUUUAAAACUUCAUUAAAGAGAUGAAAAUGCUAUUAUCUCUCUCUCUCACCUAGUCACACACACACACACUCUCUCUCUAUUGAAAAGUGCAGGUUUAUCUACUGAACAUAAGAAUAUACACAACCCCCGUAUCGAAUUUUGUCUAACUAAUUACCACAUUAUAUAGUUUCUUCUCCAACCUGUUUCAUUAUCCAAGUAGAAAUAAACUUAAUUGCCCUCUUUUUCAUCUAUAGUAUGUGCUGUAUAGGGAUGACUAUUGUUACAUUAAAGUAACUCAACUCCAUUGCAUGCCUAAAUCUUAUUUCUAAGCUUGCAUGCCUAAUUUCUUGCAUGUCUAAAUCUUAUGAGACCAAUAUUCAUACCCCUAUAAGAAUCGGUUAAAUGUGAAAAGAGACAUUAUUGAGUAGCCCUAUUUAGAUCUUUCACAAUAUGUGUAGAAAGAAUCAUUUACAGGCUUACAAAUAAUAGUCCAUUUUUUGCAUGAAACAUAAAAUACAUAAGAGCUUUUACAGUUACUUUCCUUUUUUCUUUAUAAUCAAACUACGUUCCUUGAGUCUUGACUACAAAUUUCACUAUUCAACACUACUUGUAUCACUACAAUACAUAGGUUCAAUAGCUUUUUAUGAAUGUUACAAGUGCAUCUAAAACCGCUUUACUGUUAAACGAAGGUAUAAAACAAAGACUUGGUCCUCUUUUUUUUCUUUCUUAAAGUCUCUUUUAUAUAAUUUGUAUAAGUUUGUAUCAAAUUCAUCAAACAACUAGUUAAGUGAUAUGUUGGGAAUAUUCUUAAUUUUCCACCUUUAAGUAAUUUGUCUUGUAAAAUUGUAAGUGGUUGAAGCAAAAGAGAGGGUGGGGGAUUUUGGAGAAUGACACAAUAGAGUAAGCUAAUUGGUCUCUCUGUGCUUGGAGGAUCCAAUCCGUCAAUGGAUGUGAAGAAGAGAUCUUCAAGGCUGAAUAUGAAAAUCAUCAUAAAGUAUUAAUCAAUCUUUACCCAAAUCCAACUACUACCCACUAACAAUUCCACUAAUUUCGUUUUUUAUUUGUAAAAUAUAUAAUUUUAUUCUAUAAUAUGCUUCAACUCCAAACUAUAUACAUGUGUCUUAUUUGCAGGUCUAGAAUGAUCCAUCUAAUUAGUAUUAAACAAUUUCCUCUCAUAGUUAUAAGUUAUCUCACCUCAAACUCGAUAUAUAUAUAUAUAUAUAUAUUUAUGUAUACCCAUCAAGAAACAUAAAAGAAAAUAUGACUCCGCGAGGAAAUGUAAUCUAUGUAAGGUCUUAUGAUAGCUCUUUAUUAAUUCCAACUACAAAAGAAUGAUUUUACGUUUAUGUGGAUCUAUCAUAAAUAUUUUCAAUGAAUAGUCUUAAAUUACGAAAAGUUUAUAGUAUAUAAGAAAAGAGUGGUCCAACCUCCAAGGAUCAAUAAUGAAUCAAAUUUUGCAUGAUCAUACAUAUAUUAAAAAGAAAUGAUAGAAGGGACGUUGGGAUAAACGCGAAUUAGAUGAAGUGUUGUGAAUAAUAAACUAAACUCCUCCACCUUGGGAGACCUUUGUCUCUUACUAAGUAUCCCCACGCUAUAUAUGUAUUAGAUAGCAUAUAAGAAUUGGAUUGUUGGGUGAGACGUUGAAUAUAAAAUAAACUUCUUCUUUUCUUAUUAUAUAUAUUUGAUAUAUGUGAUUAAUGAAAUUAAGAAAAGAGACUCCUCCACCUUUGGAAUUGGAAGGACUUGACAAAGUUGGAAUCUUUUGCUUUAUGUUAAAACGGGUUAGGUUGUGUAAUUGGACACCAACUUGCCAAGAGUUGGUCACAUAUCCUCUUUUUCUAUUUGGCGUGCCACUAAUAUUGCUACCAUUUUUAUGUUGUUGAUAAACCAAUCAUAUAUAUUAACAGUAUUAUUCUAAGUUUUAUUGGUAGCUAGCUAAGCCUUUCGAGAACUAUUACAUAUAUUCAAAGCUACAGAAUAUGGUCCAUACAGUCUGAGAUUUUUGUAAGUGGCUCCCUGAUUCUCUUUUCUUUCAUGAAUGGUGUUACAUAUAAUGUUUCUUGACCGAUGUUCUUAAUUUAAGAAUCUAUAGAACGUCCGUUCCUUAUGUUACUACUAUCUUUGUGAUUUUUCUAGUUCGAACGAAACUUUGUGGGCAUAUAUGGUUACUUAGUUAGAUGUAUUUGCUAAUUAAUCUUUUUGAUAUUAUCAAUCUUUCUAACAACAUGCAACAUCGUGUGGUGGUCUUAAUACAAACAAUACAUCAGCAUAAAAUAGCGGUAUAUAUAAUAUGUGGAGUGUGAAACAUAUAUAAUUCUAGCCUUUGUGGUUUAGAUGUUGUUGACUAUACCUACACUUGUAACUUGUAUAGGGCACUUGUAUAGGGCGAGCGAUAUAUCCUAUAAAGCUAGCUAGUUUUUAGAAAGUAUUUCUUUAGUAAUACAGUUUUUUUUUUUUUUUUUUUUUUUGAAAUUUUGAUAUUGUGAUGUAUAAGUGUAGAUCCGUUUACGUCUUAGCACAAGAUCGUAUCUUGCUUUUUAUCAUAAAUAUAAAUAAUAUAAACCACAUUAAAUUAAAAUAAGUAAGCCACGAGUUCCAUUGAUCCAAGGCAGCCACGAGAUUCAUGAGCUAUGGAUGUGUAUGAAUCGUCAAAUUCCUAGUCAGCUUCAACCUCCUCAAUUCAAGAAAUGAAAAUCCUUCUUCAACCAUUAUAUAUACUGAAUGAAGACCUUUUAUAGUAUAUAUGAUGAGGAUUAAUUAAUAAGUGAUGAGGAAAACGAGGGCCAUUUUUAUUUAUAUUUAUAUUAAUGAGGUAUGAUGAGUAUAUUAUGAUGAAUUGAUGAUCCAGGUUCCAAAGCAUGCCUAAAAUCAGGGUUUUGACUAGAAGAAGAAAAUGAAAUCGAUGGAAUCCAAGCGACAAGUGUUUAUAGCUGAAACUGACAAUUUUAGGAGAAAUGAGUUAAAAAAAAAAGUAACGGUUGUUUUUCUUUUCUUUUCUUUUUUGGGGCUCAGAAAGAAGUCAGUUACUCUGGACGGUUUGGUUGAAGCGACUGAUCCUAAUAGGGUAGUAGUCAGUAAUAUGCAGCACGACAAAACCUUUAACAAAAAAAAAAAACCCCUGGACAGCAAUAAACCAAUCAAAGCCUAAUUUGAAGUCUUUGCCUCAGUCCUCUUUGUUUCACAUUCAUCUUAAUAAUAAUGAUCAUGACUAUGGGAGAGAAGACAUUAUACCCUCUGAACCAACUAUAAAGGUGGUUUAGUUCUGAUGAAUAAAGGAGUGUGAAGUUGAUGGGGUCAAGCAACAAGGAUAUGGAUAGGCAGGCGAAGAACAGCAAGCUGACUCCAAAUCGGUCCUUGAAGGAGACGAGGUCGAGGUUAUACAUAAUAAGGAGAUGCCUGGUCAUGCUGCUCUGUUGGAGAGAGCCUCGUGAGUAAGAAUCUUGCUUGCCGUACCGUAUGUAUGAUACUAACACAACAUUGGUAUGUAUGUAUGCUACUUAAUUAUACAGAAGAAGAAGAAGAAGAAGAGGAGCAGUGUGUAAAAUGAAACAGUAUAAUACUAUGUUCCACAUUGCUUUGAUCAAGAAAGCUUUAUGGAAGGCACGCAGAUGCUACAAAAACACUUUUACCCUGAUGAUGUCCGAUUGAUGGUGUACAACCUUGGGCACAUCCAUGCGUAGUAGUAGUAGUUAUCUUGUUUUCGUUUUAUAUAAGCCUUUUUCCACUAUGAGGGAAUCAAAGACGUCAGUCCCAAUGAAGAAAUAUUAAACUAUGUUUACAUGUAUAUGUAGAUGAAUGUAAGUAGUCAAGACCUUAAUCUUGAGAGACAUGCCUAAGCUAACUAUUAUUAAGUUGAGGGUAAAGAAAACACACUUGUAAGUUGUAACAAGAUUAUGUACACACAGCUUUAAGCAUUCCUGUGAGUAAUAAUGAUUGGCACUAUGAUAAGACUGUUUCUUUCAAUAUUCUUUGAAACCAUUUUAACUCUGUACCACACCAAAAAAAAAACACAAAAAUCAGAGGCUGACUACUUUUGGAAUUCUCAAGAUCAUCAUUUUGAAACCACGCCAUUGUUCCCCUUCUCCUCCUCCGUUGAAUUUUGUCGGACUUGUGAGCCAAUUCAAAAUUGGUUUGUUAAUUAGGCUGCUUAAUCGUAAUUAAAGUAGACCGAAACGGUGACGUUUAGUGGUACCAAAUAAUUUGGUUUGGUUCUUCCUUGUUCCUUCUUCUUCGUCCCCGGUGGUGUUUGCUUUUGGAUGCGGAGAUUGCUUGCGACUGCGAUUGCCUCAUCCACGGCGAAGAAAGCUUUCCCCAGAGUAGGAGCUGCUGCUGCUCGAGCUUUUUCUUCUUACCGAGAGAAACUGAGAGCUGGGCUUCUUCACUCCUUGAGGUUUGAAGAUGCGCUUGAUUUGUUCUUUGAGAUGGUUCAGUCCCAACCCUUACCUUCCACUGUUGAUUUCACUAGACUACUCACCGCCUUUGCCCAUAUGAAAAGGUAUGACACCGUCAUCUAUCUCUCCCAACAGAUGCAACUCUUUGGCAUCUCUCACGAUCUCUACAGCUUCACCGUUUUGUUACAUUGUAUCUGCCGAUGCUCUCGCCUCUCUCUUGCUCUCUCUCUUCUUGCCAGAAUGAUGAAACUUGGGUUUGAGCCCAGCAUUGUCACGCUCGGCUCUCUCAUCCAUGGGUUCUGUCUCCGCAAUCGGUUUGGCGAGGCCUUGUCUCUGGUUAAUUCAAUCCUCAAAUCGGGAUAUGAACCCAAUGCUGUUAUCUACAACACUCUCAUUGCUGGUCUCUGCAAGAGCGGUCAUGUGAAUUCUGCCUUGGAGGUUUUCGACCUGAUGGAAGAGCAAGGACUCCGAGGGGAUCUUGUCACCUACAACACUCUCUUAUCCGGCCUUUGUUAUUCUGGUCGAUGGAGCGAGGCCGCUCGUCUGCUGAGAGAUAUGAUGAGUAAGAGGAUUAACCCUGAUGUCAUCACUUUCACUGCACUGAUCGAUGCGUUUGUCAAACAAGGCAACCUUUCCGGGGCUCAAGAGCUUUACAAGGAGAUGAUACAAAACGCCAUCGACCCUAACCAGGUCACUUACAAUUCACUCAUCUAUGGGCUUUGCCUGCACGGUCACCUAUAUCACGCUCAAAAAACAUUUGCUCUGAUGCUAAGCAAGGGUUGCUUCCCAAACGUGGUCACCUAUAACACUCUCAUUUAUGGAUUCUGCAAGUAUAGGAUGGUUGAUUACGGGAUGAAACUCUUCCAAAGGAUGUCUCAUCAAGGAUUGCUUGGUGACGCAUUCACUUACAACAUUCUUAUCCACGGUUAUUGUAAGGUGGGCAAUCUUCGAGUUGCCCUGGAUAUAUUCAGCUGGAUGGUCUCUUGUCGAGUUACUCCCGAUAUUGUUACCCACUGCAUUUUGUUACAUGGUCUUUGUGUUAAUGGAGAGAUUGAAAACGCACUGGCGAAAUUCGAUGAUAUGCGAAGAAGUGAAACGUAUGUUGGUAUUGUUGCAUAUAACAUCAUGAUUUACGGGUUGUGCAAGGCGGAUCAAGUGGAAAAAGCUUGGGACUUAUUUUGUGGACUCCCUUUCCAGGGAGUGAAGCCUGAUGCUAGAACAUACACUACCAUGAUAUUAGGAUUGUGUAAGAAUGGGCCAAGGCGUGAAGCGGAUGAGCUGUUUAGAAAAAUGAAAGAGGAUGGGAUCAUAUGCCAGUUGAAUGGCAUUUAGGAGAGCAUGGCACAACUUAUCAAGAAUUCGGAAUUCUCAGCUAAUGUCCUACUUUUUGUUGUUGUUGUGGAACUUUGAUUGUUGUGUUGCAGUCACAUCAUAAGAGGGAUUGUGAAUUGAGUUAAUCAGGACAAGUCUGAAGUGUGUGGUGAGUGGAUGGUAAAGAAGCACUCAAGUACAAAACUCUUGCAGGGGGUAAUUUUUGGACAUGUAAAUGUAUGCAUCUAGAAAUUUGAACUGAUUUAGCAUAUUGUAUAGAAGACUUGUACAUCAUGACCCAACUCUUGAGUUAUUGAAAGUUGAAACCAUCUCAAAUUCUCAAUAUAAAUAUUGGAAAUUUGUUCUAUACCAAAAACAGUCAUCAUAUAUCCCCAAGGUACAGUAUUGUAGUGUUUAUUAUGCAUAUCUUUGGUUGUCUUAUGAGUAAUCUGAUUUGGAAUUAAAGUCUCAUAAUGGAAUUUUUUAGAUGAGAAAAAAUCAGGUGAAGUUUUGUCUAUAACAAUUGUUUUGAAACGCUGCCGUUUUGGGUAAGGAGACCUUAUUGUUUACUCAGCGACAUCUCUGAUCGCCGUAGCAAUGGUCGUCGUUGGUAGGGUUCGUCGGCGCACACAUUGAGAAAGAGAGAUUGGGAACGAAGCCAAUCCAUUUGGAUGCCGAGAUUAAUUCCGAUAGCGUCUUCGUCAACGGUGAAGGGGUUUCUCCGUCGGCAUUGUCUUCUGCUGGAGAGAGGUAACAAUCCCGAGACUUGUCCCUCGAUUUCGUCUAGACCUUUCUCUGGUGCGAGCCGUCAUCAUUACCGAGAGAGAUUGAGAAGUGAGCUUCACUCUAUUAAGUUUGAUGAUGCUUUUGGUUUGUUCUGUGACAUGCUUCAGUCUCGUCCCUUUCCUACCAUUGUUGAUUUCAGUAGAGUUUUGACUGCCAUUGCUAAGAUGCACAAGUUUGAUAUUGUCAUCUAUCUCUCUCAGAAGAUGGAACUCUUUGGAGUUUCGCACGAUCUGUAUAGCUUCACCAUUUUGAUUCAUUGUUUCUGUAGAUGCUCCCGGCUCUCUCUUGCUCUUGCUCUUCUUGGAAAGAUGCUCAAACUCGGGUUUCACCCCAGCAUUGUCACCCUUGGCUCUCUCCUCCAUGGAUUCUGUCUCCGCAACAGAUUUCAGGAGGCUCUAUCUCUCGUUGAUUCUAUGGCCGGGAUGGGAUUCCAACCUAAUGUUGUCAUCUACAACACUGUCAUUAAUGGUCUCUGCAAAAACAGAGAUUUGAAUAACGCCCUCGACAUCUUCCACGGAAUGGAGAAGAGAGGAGUCCGCGCAGAUGCUGUUACUUACAACACUCUGAUAACUUGCCUUUGUAACUCUGGUAGAUGGAGCGACGCUGCUCAGCUUCUCAGAGAUAUGGUGAAGAGGAAUAUCCAUCCUAAUGUAGUCCUUUUCAGUGCGCUGAUCGAUGCAUUUGUCAAGGAGGGUAACCUUUUGGAGGCUAAAAACUUGUACAAGGAGAUGAUCCGAAGAUCUUUAGAUCCUAAUAUUUGCACUUACAAUUCCAUCAUCAACGGGUUUUGCAUUCACGGCCGCCUACGUGACGCCAAACAUAUGUUUGAUCUGAUGGUAAGCAAGGGCUGCGUCCCGGAUGUGGUGACCUAUAAUACUCUCAUAAAAGGAUUUUGCAAGUCUAAGAGGGUAGAAGAUGGGAUGAAGCUCUUUUGUGAGAUGACUCAUCAAGGAUUGGUAGGCGAUGCAUUCACUUACAACAAUCUUAUCUAUGGUUAUUGUCAAGCGGGCAAACUUAAUGUUGCCCAAAAGGUUUUCAAUCGGAUGGUUGAUUGUGGUGUGCCUCCUGAUAUUGUCACCUACAACAUUUUGUUAGAUUGUCUAUGUAGUAACGGGAAGAUAGAGAAAGCAUUGGUUAUGGUAGAGGAUCUACAAAAGAGUGAAAUGGAUGUUGAUAUUAUUACAUAUAAUAUCAUCAUUCAAGGGAUGUGUAGAACUGAUAAGGUGAAAGAGGCUUGGUGUUUAUUUCGUAGCCUCAAGCUCAAAGGAGUGAAGCCUGAUGCUAUAGCAUACAUUACAAUGAUAUCAGGGUUGUGUAGGAAAGGCCUACGGCGUGAAGCGGACAAACUGUGUAGAAGAAUGAAAGAAGAUGGGUUUAUGCCAAGUGAACGCAUAAAUAGUGAGGCACUUAGAGAUCACUACACAAGCUUAUCAGCUGAACUCAUUAAAGCAAAUCAUGAGUAAAGCGGUCUGUGCAGAUGCUUAUGACAAUAAAAUCAAGGCCAUCAAUAUGUUAUUUUGAUGGGAGACUGGACAAACUUCAAAGUUAUGUACCAACUCCAAAGCCAUUUUGUUGAUUGCCUUUGGGAAAGUUAAAAAGUCUGGUGGGAAAAGAAGCUCUAGCGCAUAGAUAAGUAGUCGUGUACAUGUUGUAUCUUUCAUAAGCACAUUUGUUGCAUAUACAUACAAACACAAUGAUUUUUACCAGUUGUGAAAUCUGUAUGCUUGUAUUUGAUAAUCCCAAAUAACAAAAUACGAAUUUUAACCUCCACCUUGUGUUAUAAUCUCUUAUACGCAAUCAAGUUUCACUGUUAAGCAUGCCUGUUAUAAUGAUGCCAUCAAGUGAAGUGUAAGCCCUUUUAAGUAGUCCAUACAUUUUUGAAUACAAGUCAGGCCAAAUAACAAUACAAAGUGGUCCUUAAUCUUCUAUUUGAUCCCAAAAAAAAACAAAAAAAAACUUCUAUUUGACAUUCCAAUUUUUCUCUGUUAUACAAAAUGGAUCCAACAAGGAGAAAACUACAGUAAGACAACUGGAAGCUUCCAUAUUUUGAAACUGAGAUCUCCAUCUGAGAUACAUACUCUUUGUAGUUGAGCUUACUCUUCUAUUUACCAAGACCCUCCAUCACUCUACUGCACUUGAAUCAUCCCAUCUCACUGGGGCAAUGCUCGAUGCCAAAUAACCAGAAGCGCGGGCCUGAUUCAAUCAUUUCUUCCCUCCCAGCUCAUUCUUCUCCUUCCUGAUCACUCUAUAAUUGAUCUCUUCCCUGCCAAUUAAAAUAAAUAAAAAUAGAUUCUUUAUUAUACGCAAAAAGAUGAAAUGGGUUUCCUCAGAACUAAAGAGUUUCGGAAAAAAGUCUAAAUGUGACAACACCUAGUAGCAACCGCGACUGUGUCACAUAAAUGAUAGUAUACUACCAGAAUACGAACUAUCUAUCUUUCUUUCUUUAAACUAUACAAAUAUUUACUCUUUGAUUAGUGAGAGAUAAAUUGAUUCCCAGUUCUCUCGCACAGCUGAUACAAAAUAUCUACAGAAUAAUAAUGCACUCGUAGUAAGAAUCCCCUAAGCAAAUAGAUAUCUCAAAAAAAGAAAUGGCUGACCUGAUCAGACCAAGCUGAAAUGUCUUUCUUCUGCGUCAUGCACUUCUCAUCUCUGCACUCUGCGUUGUAUUUGCGGUUCUAAUGGAAGUGACCAAACCUCGUUAAAAGCAAACUCCAUGGCUGCCAUAACCUCCAAGAAGGUAUACACAAACAACACAGCUCUCCAGAUUGGCAUAAUAUGAUAUCUCUGAACCUGGAAGCAACUUUUAGGAGUGGAGAAAAGCUAAUCAUUUGUAGCUGGGUCAAGAAGUUUCUCAGGUUGUCUCACUACUUGGGCUUGUUUCCGCCUGCCCACCACACUUCUUGGGUUUCUUCACUAGAGGGAAGGCAAGAGGACCCAGUCUUAACCGAGCAACACCUGCUUCUUCCUUUAAUUCUGCAUCUCUGCUCUUCACUGGUGUCCUUUUUUUGCGUGAUAUACUAGGACCAUAUUGUGCAAUGGUCACUUCAUUUGCAAGCUCUGUCUUCUCGAUGUCCUUAAAAUUACUGCUUAUGCGACGACUACUCGGAUCCAAACUCAACCAAGGACUGUUUGGAGAAUCCUUGCCUAGUUCUUUGCCAGAAUCAACAUCUGUUGAUGCUAUUUCUACCACAGAGCUACUGUUAUCCUGUGAAAGUGUGAGUGGAAAAGUUAAUCACCAAGACCAUUUACAAGUCACAGAAACACACAAGAAAGACAAAAUCUAUAUAUCUAGUGGAAAUUAGGAUCCACAUAUAUUUAUAUCCUAUUGUCACACAAUGGCGAAAGUCGAGAGCAAAUAAAUUAACUGCGAAAAGAACCGCAACUUACUUUAUCUUGAAUUUCAAUGAUUUCUUCGCAUUCUGAGCCUUCUUCUCCUUCAGAAUCAGCCAUCUCUUCACACUCAAACUCAACAUGUUCUUCUUCCAUCAUCUCUUCCUCAGAGUCACUUAAUUCCUCCUGUUCCAUCACUAUACCUAGAUUAGACUGAUCAGCCAUCUCGUCAAUGCAUCUACUAAUAUUAUCACUUGGUGCAGUUGAUCCAGGCACUUCAGAGCCGUCGUUACGUUGAGUCAUGCAGAUGUCUGGAGCUUCUGAAAUAUUUGCUGCACUACCACAAUUGUUUGCCUUAGAAGAGCUCGAGCUUAGAUAGAUAUCUAAGUUCACAUUUUUACCAUGUUUGGUAGAGCUUAAAGGUUUCAAGCUGACAUCAUUAUGACCAGCACCAGGGAUUGAAGUGUGCUCAACAGUAUCCUGAAGUUGACAUAAUUUGUUUUUCUUGCCAAUGUCUGGGACUAAGUUCCCACGUCUACUAGUAAGAUAACUCUUUUCAUACUCAGUUCUUUGAAGAAGAGGAUGAAAACAGCUGUCGCCCUGUGGUGUCUCAUGUUCGUUUGAUGAUGAAUUUUUGGGGAGCUGAUCAGCUGAGUGAUUGAUUUGUUUUGAACUGUUGAAAAGACUUAGCAGCUGAGGUCGAUUGUCAGAAAAGAAACUAAAACUAGAACCCCCUGGGUCUCUGUUUGGAGGGAAACAUGUAAUCUGUCCUUUCUCAGGGGUACGGAACAGUAAAGGAUGCAUUUGUAGAUCUGAAUUACUCUGCUCGCCCAUCCCAGAGGAUCUCUCUGGAGGCACAUCUUCCUGCAAAUCUACCACUUUCUCGCUACCGGGACCGUUGUUAUCCCCGUCAGAUGAAAAGCAAGGAGGUUCAAUACCCAAAUUUUCCCUCCCAGAAACAUUAGACAUGCCAUCCUUACUGAUACAAGUUUUGGAGGAUGUUUCAGUCUGAUUCUUCGCAAAUACUGACUGCGAGAUGACACGGACCGAAGAUGGAAGGUUAAGGGGAGGCAAAUCAGGGGCUAGUCUCACAACACUUCUGUUGCAUAGUUUUCGAGUACGAUAUGGUCGCAUAAUUAUAGAUGCUCUUGAGGCAUUGGGUGCUGUACCAGAUGUGUGUUGGUACAGAGGAAUGAAGGAAGGUGCAAGCCUCUGCGUACAUGUCAGAAUUUGGCCACCACAAAGAUCAGGAUUUUUGGAUCCUUCAACGGUACAUGUUUGUAAUGACUCCUGUCGAUCACCGGGAACAUUCUUUGCCUUGUCAAAGGAGUGCAUAGAUGCAGAAUAAAAGAGAGUUGGCAUGCCAGGCCUCCAAUCUGCUAAAAAUCCUUCAUGUAGGUAUGCCUCACCUGAACUUUCGACCAAUUCAUCUCCAACAUGAUAUUCAUUGGCUUUAGAAGCACCAUGAUGACCCUGCAACAUGUGAUGAAAGAUGAACAAAGCUAAAUUACAUAUUUUUACGAGAAAACCAAAAUUAACAUAUUCAGUAUGGAUGAGUAGUAUGAUUUAAGAGGUAACCACAUAUAUGAAAGACAGACCUCUUUUACAGAUGCCUGCUGCUCUCUGGACUUUCUUUUUGUAUCAUAAAGUCUCCGCUUUUCCUUCUUUACAGCAUCUAGCUUAUAUGAUUUCUGAAUUCCAAGGGCAGUGCGCAAUUGCCGUGGCAGUGUGGUUGGGUCUCGAUAAGGCACGACAAAUUUCCAUACAGACAUCCAAUCAUAUUUGAAGUACUUAAGCCCCUGAGGAUUCAAUUUAUACUGAGCACCCAAACACCAUUUCCAAUAAGAAUUGCAAGAGAAUGCACUUGUCAGGUUACCUCUUGUAUACGUACUAUCUCUUGUGGAGUCAGGGGAGAGCUUUUCAUCCUCAAAACUGCCUGUGGGUGACAAAAUUUACACAUACACACCAGUUAGGAGAAAAUCUGCAUGACCUUAAAAUUAUGGCUGGAACAUCUUAUUAGGGACAGAAUAAAACACAUUCGUCUUUUGCCAUCAGUUGGAGUCCAUCUUAAACAUGUAAUGCUCAUUUGCAUAACGUAUGUUCGGUAUAAAAGCAUACAAGAUGGUCAUCCAACGUUCUCAUUUAUGACAAUGAGUUCGUAAUCAGAUUUCUUUUAUGUGCAUGAUAUAACCCAUAUAUAUGUAAUGGUUUCACAGUGUUUAUAUGCUAGCAAACAAGUUCAGACCACUGAAUUUACGGAUUCUAUAGCCAGACAGAGAAGUAUACAAAUAAAAAGGUGAUAAACUAAAUCAAGCAUAUAACAGACCUUAAUUGGAUUCUCUGGGGCUUUAGAUGAUCUCCGGUUUUUCUGCCUAACAUAAAUCUGAAACAAAUACAAGUCGGACAUAUUAGAAGACAUGAAAGUCUUUUAUUUCUUUAUCAUCAGACUGGUUGACAUGAAAGCAGAAGAAUGACAGACUACAUCAUUUGCAACAGGACAUGAGUCGACGUGAAGUCUUAAUAUCUUCAUAUUUAUCUAAAUACUUCACAGGUUGUGUUCAUAUAGCACUUACAAGAACUAAGAUAAUGAGAGCAAUCUAAUCAAUACCAACUGAUUACUUCGUAACCCAAUGACCAUUCCUAGAUCUGCAGAAAUUCAGUGAUGAUUACCUGAUGCUCGCCUUUACAUGGAAGAAACCGCUGCUUUAUUGUCUUCCAGUCUGAGUUAUAUUCCAUUAUUCCAAGAGCCAGUAAUCUGCGUUGAAGCAGCACAAGAACUAAAUUUCCGAGUACAUUAGUAGAUUAGACAAAAAUAAAAAGGGAAUGGAACUUACUCAUCUUCAGCAUCAGUGAAAAGGACCCGAUUGGCGACAGCUGCAUGAGGUGGCUUGUGGGGAUACAGAGAUACUUUGAACAACGGCAAAAACCUUUUAGCUAACUUGGCGAUAUCCUUGUGGACCAAGGCAACAGAUUGCUUCUGGGCUGACUCAACAAGUGUAGCAGCUAACGUCUUCUUAGAUUGCUGCUGACCUGAUGGUGACUUACUUGAAAUAGGGGAUAAACGAGGAUUGUUUAUGAUCUCACCACCAACUUCUUGGUGAGGAAGUGUAAAUAAUGGCACUCUUUGAGACGAAGGAUCAAAACCGGAUUCCACUUGAGAGCGUCGGUAAUCUUGAACAGCUACAAUGGUUCAAUAAUCAAGAGAAAUUAUAUUGCAUAAACAGGUAAGAAACAUAGAGAAUAUAUCACCCUACUUUUGAACCAAUAACAUACCGUCAGAAACAUCAACUAGAUAUCUUCCAGCUAGAUCGACAACAUCCAGAACCGAUGAUGCGGAACCAGAGAGAAGAAGAUGACUUGGGCGUGAAAUAUAUCCUUGGUGUUGAUUGAGCAUCUCAGAUAGAAGUCCUUGGACUUGGGUCCCAAUGUGCUGCCGCGAAUGAUCAAGGGCACAAAGAGAGUACACUUGGAUAAGAAGUUGAAGGUGAUCCUGAAUCAAACAAUGCAGUUCUCCCAUUUGGGCUUGACUGAAGCCAUUAAUUGUCCUGUUUCCUGAUGAAUCCACUGCUUCAGUAGCAGAAAACCUUCCAGCAGGUGGGGCAAUGGGUAAGAUAGGUACAAGAGGGCGUAAUAAUCUGCCAGCCUGUUCAGGAGAAUUGUUAUUGUGGUGAGAGGAGAUGUUUUGCUGUCUCUUCUGCCUAGUCACGGGGCGUCUCUUAGUGGUUUUGUUGUCACCUGUUGUGACCUUUUCCGGAAUAAUUUCCUCGUCAUCAGUCUCGAGUGCUUCCUCAAGUUCGAUCUCGAAGUCUAAAUCGUUAUCCUCAUCAUCGUCGUCGUCAUCAUUAGUUCCACUCUGUGCCAAGGGAACCUCAGUAUCACCACUAUGUAAAACAGCAGCCAGAAACUUGCGGUAUUCUUCCUCAUCAUCGACAUUUGGAAUAUCAUCCUCAUCAUCGGUCUCCUGGAGAAAAGCCUCAAGAUCAUCAAGGGUGAAGCUGGCAAGGGAAUAGCGAGCUCUAGUCCGCUUGCAGAUUGCAUCCUCCUCCUCCUCAGUUGAGGUAAUACCUUGCUUCUGAGUUUGGAUCACGCCACACAAUUGUUGUCCGUUAUCAUUUGGCUCUACAGUCCUCUCAUCAUUGGAACUUGGCUCAAAGCCAGCCCGUCCUCCGGGAUCAAGAGAGUCCUGAGGGAUUGGUUCUUGGCUGGGCGUGGCGAUUUCGUGCAUUGCUUGGCUGCCCUCUAAGGUUUGGGAAACAGUGCUAUUGACAAUUUCACCAUCAAGAGUCUCAACUUCAGAGCUCAAACUGGAAGAAGCUUCACGGGAAGGAGUAUCCUUGAGGAAAGGAUUGAAAUCAACAUCUUCCUCCUCGUCAUACUCGCACUCUGCUUCUUCUUCUUCAUCUUCCUCUUCGUCAUCCGCAUCAGAUGAAGCAGCAUCUACGUGGAGGGACGACGGUUCAGAGAUGGGAGGUCCUGAUAUUAGGGCUUCCAAUUGAUCCAACGAUUUCAUGACUAAAUUAGGGUUCCGCUAUCUAACCAUGACAACAAUUGGAGCAAAUUCUCAGACCACAACGGAACCAAUUCAAUGUAAUAUAAUAAGAUCAAUCUCCUAAACACCUGAUUCCUUCGAUAGACACAAGCAAGAACCUUAAAAGGAGCUACAGUUUAGAGCAAAACCGCAAGAGAAGGAUUGAAGAAAACGUGACUGGGAAGAAUGGAUUAAUAAUAAUAAUAAUAAGGAUUGGGAGAGAGAGAGAGAGAGCUCUGUCUCUUCUCUUUUUCGGAAGACGAACAAACAAACCAGUCGGGUCGGGUCGGUUGAGCGAGAGACCUUUUUUUCUCUUUUAUUAAUUUGUUUCUAUUACUACAUUAAUAUCAUCUUGUUUAUUAUUAUUUACUUACGUUAAUCCAAAUAAGUUUUGAGUUAAACAUUUGGGCUUUACCAUGAGGAAAAACAUUUGGGAUUUACCAUGAGAAAAAACAUUUGGGCUUUACCAUUUCAAUUUUACCUAAAAUAACAGUUAAUUCUUUUUUACGGAUGACGAUUGGAUCAGUAAAGUGGACAUUGUCAUUGGAUGGAUAUGAUAACUUUCUUUCUUUCUUGUUUCAACUCCAUCCGUCCAUCCGUAUGCUCUUACUAUACCAAACACAGUAAUAAGUUUCAAGUAAAGUCCUUUAAACACAAAAGCAAAAUAUAAUCUCCAGGCAAAGAAGACGACUGCACUGCUGUCUCGUAUUUGAGGUUUUAUAUAAUAAAACGCAACAUGGAUUUGGGUAAAUUAUAAUAAAUGCAGCGCAGCUUAAGUUGAAGAUUGGAGAAGUUUCUUGUAGUCAUGGAAGGUUCCAUGGAAUGGUGCAAUCCUGCCGUCUGACACUACCCACAGCUCAUCCACACUUCCCGAUAUUAGAUGCUCGUCGUGACUCACCUGCAUAAACAACCAACAAAUAUUGAUUGCUUCUUCGUCUAUGAAUCAAUAAACCUGAACCGAUGAUUUGUCUACUGGACAAGGAUUGAGAGAGAGUACCAUGCAAAUACCGCCUUGGAAUAAGACUAGUCCUUGGAUCAACGCUUCCACAGCAUCCAGAUCCUGAGAAUUUUUAACAUUCCUACUUUUAGCAAACUGUAAUCCUUCCUUAUUUAAGAAGAUGCAUAAAAUAUAAAUAUAUGUAGCUUACAAGAUGAUUGGACGGCUCAUCAAGCAAUAGCAAGUGAGGUUUCUUGAAUGUUAUCUUCGCAAAUGCAACUCUGCUUUUCUGACCACCUAAUUUCCCAUUCACAUCCAAAAACAUUAGUGAACCGUAACAAAUCACUAUCGCCACAACACAUAAUUAAAAUAGUUCUAGUUUCGUUCUAGGGCUUGCAUCUACAAUUUUGUGGUUAUAGAACUCCAAACACCUAAAGAUACCUGAUAAAGUGUACAUGGGCUGCAGGGCAAGAUUUCCAGUAACCCCAAGAGAACCCAAGUGACUUCUGAGUUUUUGUUCCGGUACUCCCUGCAACAUCAAUCAAAUACAAGUUAAGACAUCUUGCCAAGCCGAGGGCUUGUAGAUUUUUCGCUAACUGAAAUUGUGCUUGUAACUUGUAAGAAGCAAAGAAAUAGACAAUACUGUAAACACUAAUUAAACACCAAUAUAUGAAACAUUUUUAACUCGAUUACAAUCUCAUGUUAAUUGAAACAUAAACAAAAAGAGGGAUAUUACGAGUGUGGGAACUUACUGGAUAGCAGCGCAUCAUAUAUAGGAGAGGAUUCGAAGAAAGGUCUAGCCCAUCCACAUGAUGCUGACUAAAGACAGCAACUCGAACCUGCAAAGGAUAUCAAUACACCAUAUCAGAACCACCAAACUAAGCAUUCACACUUAACAGAGCAGAAAAACAAGCAAUCAGAAUUCUAGGUAAUGAAACCUUAAGAUUUAAUAAUAUCAUUGUCAAAAAAAAAAUUCAAAAAUCAAAUGCUUAUUUAAGAGCCCAACUUCUUGAACCUAAAAGGGGUCAUCUCAUAUGAUCCUGAGGGACAAUAUUCAAUUUGUUGUUUAGGUAAAAGAGUAGUCUUCUGCCAUACCUUAGCAGAACGGAAAACUGUUCCAGAGCUUGGUUGCAGGUCCCCGGAAAUAAGUUUGAGUAUAGUUGAUUUACCAAUACCAUUGGGUCCCACCACUGCAACGAGAAAACCAUAUAUAGAGAUUAAAAUGUUGGGAAGAAUCGUAACAAAAAAUUACGUUCUACAUGUUUUUUGAUGCUGUGCGUAUUGGUAUCCACAUAUGAUAGAUGAAGAUUUAUAAACAUGUGUAAUCUGUGAGAUCUCAUAAUCAAGGGAAAGGGGAGCUUUCUUACUUGCAAUACGGCUGUCCAGAUCUAUUCCGAAGUUUAGGUUCCUAAACAACAACGGACCACCAGGGUAGCCAAAUGAUGCAUCACUGUAGAAAGAACGAGCAAAGAAAUUUAGCAUGUUGAUUCUGCAUCCUCCUCAUACCAAAAUUAUAGAAGUUUCUGUCAGAUUCACACAGCUGGUUUCUGGAAGUUGACAAACCUAAAACUGAUAAUGGGAGGUCCAGGCUUAUCGUCAGGAGUUGGGAAUUCAAAUUUGUAGCUGCAAGAGAAAGACAAUAGGUCAAUGUAUAAAAGGCAGAAGCUGAGAGUAUAUAUAUAAGAGGGGCUUGCUUACUCAGGAUCAUUAAUAACUUGAUCCACAUGAGCCAGUCGGUCCAAUGCCUGAAUCAUAGACACAAUAAUAUUAGAGCAUCGCUGAACGCCAACAUUUAAUCACAUAAAUAGGUGUAACUGUUGACACCUUGAUUCGUGACUGAACAAGAGACGCCCUCUUUGCAUUGUAACGAAAUUUAUCAAUGAACGCCUGUAGCAGAAAACAAGAUAUCAAGCAUCAAACUGAAAUCCCCAUGUUGGAAUACUGUUAAAAAAACAGGGACGAGUUGAAAACAGAAUUCAUGAGUUCAUUUUUCCAAAAAAAAUAGAAAAGAAACCUGCAUAUGUGACCGUGAUCGUUCACUUGAUUCAAAAGCCUUUUGCUGAUUUUUCACUUGUUCUUCCCGUGUUCUUUCGAAAAUAUCAUAAUUACCCUUAUAGGUACUUAGUUUUUGGUUUUGCAAAUGAAUGAUGUCCGUGACCACCUGCAGCCAAAAACAAGUAUUACACAUGUCCAGAGAUAUUUGGGAAAUAAUAACAGCAUGGAGAUCAAUAGAGAAAAAGUACCGUGUUCAAGAAUUCCCUAGCAUGGGAAACAACUAUAAAUGUUUUUGGCCACUUCGUUAGAUAUGUUUCUAACCAUAAGACAGCAUGGAGAUCAAGAUGGUUCUACCAAAGAGAGGAAAUGAAUGUCAGAACUCAGAAAUCUGAAAACAAAAAGGAUAGAUUGAUCUAAUAAGGGAAACUUUAUAAAGAAAACACACCGUAGGUUCAUCAAGCAACAACAAAUCAGGCUCUAUAAAUAGAGCACGAGCAAGUGCAAUUCGCAUCCUCCAACCUCCCGAAAAAGUAUUUGUAGCUUUCUUCUGCAUUUCUGGAGUGAAACUUAAACCCUGAAAAUGACGUAGAGAGCGACAUUUGCAAGUUAGCAGACUCAGAAGUUGGAGGCAGGAAAAGCACAUGAAGAUUUUAACAGGAGAGAGGACCCAAAUCUAGCAAUUUGUAUGCAUUAUGUAGUGAUGGGUCACGACUUGCGUCCAGAUAUGCAUACCCUUGAGUCCAGAUAUGCAUAACCACUUAUUUAUAUCUAUACUCUCAAACGGAAACUCUAAAGGGCUUCAGAAUAUUUAUAAUGGUAAAGAGAAACUUACAGCAAGGAUACUAGCUGCCCGAGCCUCAGCAGUAUAAGCAUCAAUUGCGUCAAGCCUUUUGUAUAUUUCUUCAAGUCUUUGAGACAUAAGAUCUGCUUCAAUGGUGUCUUUGGUAGGCAUUCCAUCCUUAGCUGUGGGUUCUUCCAUUUCUCUCUUCAGAUAACCCAACAAGAGUCAACAUUACCACCAAAGACAGAUGAUACGAAAAGACAAAACACCUGAAUGAGUAAAUACUAAUUCUUAUAAGUAAACAAGCUUGAUCUAACCUGCUUUGCCAGUAUUUGAAUCUCUUCUUCUAACAGCUUGGUUCUUUCAACAUCAGUGUUAAGAACACAUUGUAAGGCUGUCGUCUUGUCACCGACCACUUCUUGUUCGACAUGCAAUAUCUGGCAAUUAGUAGGGAUGCCCUCUAUAGCGUGCAUAGCCAUAUACCUCAAAAAGGUUGUUUUUCCGGUACCAUUACGUCCUACAAGACCUGUAGAGUAAUCCAAAGAGAACAAAUUCCCAUUUGUAAGCUAGAAUUCUCUUCCCAUCUAUUCCUUGGAUUAAACUGACAGCUAAAAUAAAUAAUACCGAAGAUCAAACCUACCGUAAUGGCGUCCAAAAGAGAGGGUAAUUGAUCCAUCCACAAUGAGAUCACGGCCUCCAACAGAAACAUUAAAGUUAUCCAUAUGAAUAUCUCUGAUAGCAGAGCCACCACCAGUGUCAUGAUUGACACUUACAGUAGGCAUCCCUGCUUUAGCGGCUUCCAUUUCAGCAACAUGCUGUUGAUAUUGUAGCUGCGAAAACAAAAAAAAAACUAGUAAAUCACACAAUAAAACCAAAAUCUAAACAAAUAAAAAGGAAGCAGUCAUUAUUCUAUACCUCUCUUUGGCGAUCAUCCUUUUUCUUUCUCCUCUCGAUCUUAGCUAAGUCACGUUCUGUGAGCAAAGGCCCAUCCACAGGCUCUGGCUUCUUCUUCUUAACGGGUCCAUCAUCCAUUCCAUCGUUCAUCCUUACAGGCAUCGCAAGACUCCUCACGGUUGGUGUAGGCUUCACCAAUCCAUGCUUUCCAAACUUAUCCGACAGUUUGCUACAAACCUACACACCACAUUCUCCCAGUUACAAACGCAGCAUUUCUUUAUGUGACUAUCUCAGCUCAUUCAAAAGUGAGACCCUAUUCGGUAAUUCUUGAAACCAUUUCAACACAGAUAUAAGUUCCCCACUCACAGAGACCCUAAAGAAAUAUCCCAAAACACACACACAGCAAAGAUAAAACGAAUCUCAGAUGAUACAACAAUUGAACUGAAGAAGGCCAAGCUCCGAUGAUUUGCUUACCAAACGGCACUCGUCGAAAUCAGAAACGCAUUCAGCAGCGACGAGGAGCUCACCAACGGCAUCAAAGGCACCUUCACCUUCCUCACCGAAGUCGAAAUCCUCAUCGGCGAGGACAUUGAUGAUGUAGUCCAUGAUCGGCUCGUCCACAUCCUGAGCUCUGCGUCCGAGCACUUCAUAGACAACCGAGCUCGCAACUUCAGUCAUGGCGAAACACAGAAGCCAGAGGAUUACAAUUGCAGCAAUUCCACAAGUGAUUUUGAUAUCUCUCUCUCGAAGAAGAAGAAGAAGAAGAAGAGCGGAGGGCGAACCUUUUUUGGUUUUAGGGCUAUUUGGAACCUUCUGGCUCAGACAGAGAGUACACUGAAAAAGUGGACUAAACCAAUCAUAUGAUUUAUUCCGGUACACCUUGUUCCUCUUUUAAGUCUUAAAUCUUAACAUUGGUUUAGUGCCAUUGUGAAAUCAUUCAUGUUUGAGAGCGAUACAGUAAGAUUAGCCAUUUUUGGAUUACAAAAACUAGACAGACCUCUUUAGCUCUCUUAAUUGUUUUCGCCGAUCAAAAAUUUAAAACAAGUAAAAAGUGUCAUAUAUAUAUAUAUAUAUAUAUAUAUAUAUACAUAUAUAUUUGUUACUAAUUGACAAACUCAAGUUUUUAUAACAAUUGUUUGUAAAUCUCUUUGACAUCACCAUGAAAGUCUCAGCCACACACAACGACAAUGAAUGAGAGACAUGAGAGAGCGAGCUAUCAACUGAACUGGAUAUAUGUUGGACAUGAUGAAGCUCUAUGAAGAGUCCUUAGAUUGGCAGGCUAGCAAGUGAUUGUUGUUGAUGUCCUUCUCAACACCAAUUCUCACAGUUUCAAGACACAAUUGACACUUUCUCUCGGUGCGGGGAACAUGCCCUUCAAGAAAAUUGUUCGAUCGGAUAGUAGUGUGAGUUUAACCAAUGCAUUGUAUUUCUCGACAAGAUCCAUUUUAAAUGAAUGCAGCUUCUUAAUGGCUCAGUUACAGCUAGCCUCAUUGAAUUGUUUUGUUGUUCAGCCAAAUCAAGUAUUUGAUAAGAUCGAAUCAUUUUUGGAAUAUGAGUGAGUGCUUGUGAGUACAAAAAAGAAAAGACGACGACGAAUAAUUAGGCUGGCUUUAUAUAUAUAUAUAUAUAUAUGUAUGUGGGUUUGGUAAAGGUUUUGAAAGAGAGAUUACAAUCAUAUAUAUAUAUAAACAAAAGGGAGAGAUACGAAUCACACUUAACUUUUAUUAGAGGAAUAUAAAUCAGAUCAAAAUUGGUACGUACAAUAUAUAUAUAUAUAUAUAUAUGGUGCUCUUCUCCAUUAUCUCUCACUGCCACCAUUCUAACCAGCAUCCCCUUAUAAUGGAGAAAGGUGACAAAAGAGGAUCCAUAGUGCACCAAGCUAGUUGACUUUUGAUUAUGUGUUUCUCAUUCAUUUGUUGAAAAAUAAACUAUUACAUCUUAUUUUAUGUGUAACUAAUUGUAAUAUUCCUCUAUAACUUUGCAAUAAUAAUUAUUAAUUUAUCCAUAGCUUUUGAUUGUGUUUCCAAAAUGAAUAACAUGUACGUUUAGUCACAGUGUCAUCUCCUCCACGUCUUAUUUGCUUCUAUAUAACCCAUCUCAUAUGCCUCUAUAAAAUCCCACAAUUUUUUUAUGUCUUGCAGAUCUUAAUAUUAAGCUGUCAAAGAAACAAAUAAUCAAACAUGAGACGAUAUAAUACAAAAGAAUUCGUAUUUCUCAUUGUUGUUCUUAUUUUCACAAUCACCUCCGCUCAUGUUACUGACGCUACUCCUCGUCAUUUUGUGAUUCUCGGGUCGAACAAGGUAUGUAAUUAAUUACUCAAUUUCUUAUAUAUGAUCAUAUGAUUCGUGUUAUCGUGUACUGCCGAAUUCAUAAGUUGCUAUCUGCUAUCAAAUGGAAUUAAGGAAUGGAAUAUAACUCUCACACACACACAUAUAUAUGAACAUGCAUGCAUGCAUCGUUAAUUAUAUUAUCUUACUAAUUUUUCAUGCCAAUUUUCUACACUCUAUCAUGAUAAUUGGUAAGUUUUAAACAUGGAAUUAUAUGAAAUUUUAAUGUGAAUGAAAAAAAAGGGUGUUGACAUUAAGGAGAGUACUGGUGAAAUAAAGGAGAGAGAGCUUGUGGAGUUUCAUCUAGACUAUGGAAGAACCGGAGCCAAUCAAGAUCAUGAACCAGGGAAAGGAAGACCUUAAAACAACUUCACUACUCACUCAUUUGGAUAUUAUGAUUAGUUUCAUUUCACCACACCAUAAAACAACUUCACUGAGUGCUCAGUUACAUAUAUAUUUAUUUACCAAUAAGCUUUUUUACCUGUAAAAUAUCAUACUUACUAUUUAUUUAUUUUGGUUAGAAUCGUUUGAGGUAAAAUAUCAAUAUUUAACGUUAUAUACGUUUGCAUGCAUCAUUGAUAUAAGUUUUUAUCAUGUAAUAUAGUACUGAUUUAAGUCAUUGACAUUAAAAUGUCAACUUAAAUAUUGUAAAUUCAUUGUUGUUUGUUGUUGUUGUUUUUUUUCUUUCUCGUUUGUGUAAUCGUAUAUCUUUUACUCCAACGAUGACAAAUCAAUUAUCAAUACAUUAUAAAAAAAAUAGUUUAAAAUAACUAAUUGGUUAUGAAACGUGCAUAACUGUGUGUAUCUGACGUCCAUCAAAUUGGUUAUUCGCCUAUAUAUAUUACUCUUGAUUUUAAAAAUUAAUUCAGUGUAAAUAACACAAGCAGGUCACUAUGCAAGUAAUAAUAAUAUUUCUAUUUUUAUGUUUAUUCUUCCAAUCAACAUCUAUUGAUGUGGAGACGUAUGCUCUUUAUACAUCUCAAAAAACACAUUGAAUACUAAAACUCUUCUGCUAAGAAAAAGGAAGACUUGUUCCAAGAAAACAAAACUCUCAGUUGUAUACAAGUGAUGCAUUGUCAUAAGCACAUCAUAUUUUCCUCUGAGCUUUCGCAUGAGCUCCCAAAGUUUAGCGUCACGUCAUGUACUGACAGCCUCAGUGUGUUUGCUUUCGCUGCAGACGUCUCAAGGCACUCACUCAGGUCUGCAUCACACGACACCGAGACCCACUCGCUGUCGUCGUCUAGAUACUUGAGCUCAAACGCUGCCAUGUCGAGCUUCAGCCUCUUGGCCACUUGCUGCUUAAGUUCCAUUAUGCUUACCGACUCUGCUGAUAUCUUGAACCUGAUGAUGUCUUCUCUGUACGUUGCCUUUAUACUCACAAGCUUAUUGUGGAGUGUUGUUGGAGAUGCUGUAUCUUGGCAGCUUAAGUGUGUCCAAAAAUUAGCUAUGUUUUUAGAGCUACUGUCCGAAUCGUCCAAGGCCGUCUGCCUGGGUGUUUCUUGGUUGUGUGUUGGAAGCCGAAAACGUGUCUCGGAUAUAGGACCCACUGUGGAACACGAGACUGAUGAGAACUACGGUGAUGGAUCUUGAAAUUUUGCAGUAGAAUACAUGUAGCUAGAUGAUGAUGAUGAAAGGCUUUUACUUUACCUUUGCAAGAAGCACGCGAUGUUGAUGACCCUGCACUGUCUUCUGCAUCUCUGUUUUCAAUCUUGACAUCUUGGAGAUAACUUGGGGGAGAUGUAGAAGCUGGAGGGAAGUUCUUUGCUGGUUGGUUUUCGAUUGGAGAUAUUUGACGAGACCAAGGGCGAGGGGAGAGGGAGGUUAAAUUGAGUGAUCCAUCAGCACCUUGAACUGAGUCUAUAACAUGUUUAAGUCGUGUGAGAGAUCGGUUCACCUUGUUGAUUUUGCGAGAUGGCCACCGUGAGAUCCCGUGUUGUCGACAAAUACGUUUCAUUGUUGUUGGGCAAACUGGAAAAAGAAAGCACAAAUUUUUUUUAGUUUGCCAUCAACAACUACAGUCAAUAGACAAAGUUAAGAACAUACCACCGAGGCUCUUUGCUGCAUCUUUUAGACUACCAGCAAAAUAUUGUUGAAGCACUUCUAUACUGAUUGUUUUCUCGGUUUUCCCCCGCUUUCUUUCUGAUUUUUUCACUGUUUUGGCCUCCGGUAAAGGUUCAAGCGUUUGGAACCUCUCAAACCCAUCAGCAACUUCAUUAUUCUUUACAACGUCAGAGUUUAAGCUCAGCUUCUGUUUGGGAGCGUUGAGCUCAAGAUAAUCCUUAGAAAUUGGUGCUUGAUGAUGUAUCCUGAUAGGUUCAAGUUUCGAGUAAACCAUUCCGUCUUCUGAAGCUUCCACAACUUCAAGAGAUAUUUCGUUUUCACAGAGUUCAGUUUCAGAGACAACCUUGAGACUCGAAUAGUGCUGCUUCAUUGUCUGAAACAGAGAACCCAACAGACAAUCUUGCUCACUCUUGUCUGUGAUGGCUGGAGGAAGAAAGAAUUCAAGAACAUACUCAUCGUCCCCCGUAUACGUGCUCUUUAAGCAGACCGCGAAACAACUGGUCAACUUGAACAUGCGUGCAUAAUGUACUAAUGGGUAGUCAGUUUUGCAGAACCUGGUAACAUCCCUACAGAAGCAAAGAUUUCCAGACAGAAACGCUCUCCCAGCAACACCUUGUCCCUUCUGCAGAUGGUGUUCAGCACAAGCGUCUCUGAAACCCCAAACGUGAGCGUCCACAACAUAAACCGCUAAAUCACUAGUAGACAUACAGACUUUCCCCAUACAGCUUCCAUCAAAGCUCGAACAGCUCUUCUUAAAACCACCACCAAAGGCCAGAACACUGCGAUGCCUGCAAGGGACCCAUGUCUGAGCUAAAGGCAAUUUGUAGGUCUCGCACACCACAGUCAGUAUCUCCAAAAUCUCAGCCAAUGCAUUUUGGCGACCCUCAUUGCAGAUCUGGUAUAGGAGAAGUGAAAAGGAAAUGAAGAUCAAAACGACAAGGAAGAGCACUAAAUGAACUCAAGACAGUUCUUGAAAGUUUCUGAAAGAAUACUCGAGAUUUUGACAGUGGACUCGCAGAUAACCUGAGUUGUCUCGUGGUUCAAUAUUUCCGAAGUUUUCAGAUUCACGGCCUGCAACACAGCCGAAAACGUUAAUGUCACUGGAAGAUCAAAGGAUACUGAUAAAGGAGCCAAAAAAAAAAAGAAAGGAGAAACAAAACCAAACCUCAAGCGCUUUACAAACUUUUUCAACCUCAGGUGCAUAAUUAAUCUUCGGAGAAGUCAUAAUAAGCUCGACAACCCCAACACAGAGCUGCCUGGAUGGUUCAAAGACAGGCAAAGCCAAGGUUCCCUGAACAUUAUAGUGCAAGGCGUGACCAAGGCGGGAGAACUCUUUGCUGGAGUAAUACUGCACAUUGGGAGUCCACUCAGGUAACUUUUUCCUGAAAACACGACCAGGAAGCCCGAGGUCUCCGUCCCGUUCACCAUCAAGGGAAAACAUAUACGUGAGGGAAACCAUCCUGUAUUGAUUAAGGCCAUUACUAUUGGGACCAAGAACAAAUGGCUGUCCUGAAGUUGUAAGAACAUAUCGCCCACGGUUUUUUACAGGCGCCCAAACCUGAGCAAGAACGUGUUGCUGUCCCGUUGAUUCCUUGAAGAAUCUAAGCGCUUGAGUCAUCUUGGCUUUGAUAGCGCAGUAAGUAUCUGGAUUCUCCAAGGGCGUUAUACCCCAUAAGGGAGAAGGAACUUGAUUGGUAGUCUCCUUGGUCGUGGUUUCGGAUUCUGAACCUGCAUUGCGUCGAUUCCAUGAAUUUUAAGAUCCAAGCAAUUUCAACUAAAUCUCAAGAUCAAUGCAAUGAAGAAGAUUCCAAGGAGAAUAAUACUGAAUAGGAAGCAUAUCCACAAGUACAUUAUCCGAAUUGGAUUCUAGAAUCCUAAACUUUGCAACGGAUAACACUUACUGGCAAGUAAAAGGGAAUAAUCGGUGAAGCGAGUGGGAGCUCCGUAAAGGUCGCCGCCGACAUCUCCGGCAGCUUCGGAGAAGGACCAGAGAGGAGAGAAAGGCUGCUCGGAAGAAGAGAAAAUGACCGGAGACUUGAAAUUGGAAGAAAACGUGAUCUGAUCUAACGGCCAAGAACCGCUGAGAUCCAAAUCGUCAAGUUCCAUCAAGCAAGCAGGGACGGGAGCACGUGAGAAGACCACAACAAAAAGAAUAAACUCGUCUGUCAGAGUAGUGUGAAUAUCCCCGGGGAGUUUCAAAGCGAAACUGUGAUUCAAGCAAGCUUCAACACAACACAGAGAGAGAAGGAGAAGAAGAAGAAGAAGAAGAAGAAGAAGAAAUAAGAGGAGAAGACAAGUUGUAAAUAUUUUAAUUGAAGACAUUUGAUUCCACGCUGUACCAUUUUACCCCAACCACUAGAAUAUCUUCCCAUUCAUGCAAAUUCUUUAUUUUUAUUUUCGGACAACAACAAAAAAAACAUCGAAUUUAAAUUUUUCAUUUCCCCCAAUUCGAAUUUUUCUUUUUAAAAUGGUAUUUUUAGUAAUUUAUUGAGGAAGUUUCUAAAAUUAAAAUUGAUAUUGUUUGACCAUCUCUCUUAGAAAAUAUUGGCUUUGACAAAUUUCGAUACGAUUUUUUUAUUUUAUGUUUGUUUGAAUUGUACAAUUGUUAAUGACCGAGAAGAUUAUACUAUAUGGUGAAGGUUUUUUUUUUAUGUAUAUCACACAUUUCACAAAACAAUGAAUUGAUUAUGCUUAAGACGAUUCUUACACGUCCAGCACCAAGAAAGUUGUCAUAUGCAUAUUUUAUGCGCCUAAAAAGGCUUUUAAGACGUAAUUAGGCACUAAGUGCUUGUUGUGUGUGAGUAGAAUAACAACGACUCCUUUACUUAAUUCCAUUAUUAUGCUCUUAGCAAACUUCUAAUUAUCAUUAAUAAAUCAAUUAUUGAACCCCCCAAAAAAAAAAAAAAUUCUUGAUAAACGGAAUCUCACUUUCAGAGAUGAAUAAAAAAGCUAGAAACCACUCAGCCACUUUCAACUACUUACCCAAAGUGGAUCAUUACUUAAGCCCUUUCCCCUUUGUUAAUUCAUUCAUAUUUUAUAUUAACAGUAGUAAUGUGUUUUUUUCCUAGUGGGGACGUCUGUCUAAUCACUAGCAUUCUUUCUUCUAAUGAUAUCACUAAUUUGUUAUUUAGCUGUUAAUCAACAAUAGUUUAACACCAAAGAGAAGAAAUUCUUGCAAAGUAAAUCCCCACUUGUAUGCCAAGUUGACAAGUGUGUUUGGCAAUGGACAUUUGUGUGUCCUUUACUGACCUUUUCCUUCUUCCAUAUUUGGACAGUGUAAGGUAGUUAAUCAAAGGAGCUUCCCGGCUACCUACACUACGUUAAAGCAUCUCCAAAACUCGAACCCUUUUAUCCAAAACUAAACCAAAUCCGAGACAAACAACCAAACUGAACUAAACAAUUCAUCGUAAACCAAGCGAAAUUGAUUAUCCCCACCCCCAAUAAAACUCGGAAUCACAUAACGAUAUUUGAAUGCCUAUACCUAGCUUUGAACUCCCCUAAAUUACUGACAUCGUGUUCAAGCAAAGCAUCCAGGAAAGGGGGACAAGGUAACAAAAUGAAAAAUAGUGACACUGAACCUUAGAACGGUGAUAUGGAAGAACAAAUUGAUAUCGCAACAAAGUCUCAUUUGCAAAAUCCAAUUAACCAAAUCACUUCUUUUGAGACAUACUUAGUCGCUCCAUAUCAGUCAAUACACGAUAACAAAGUUUUACGACCUGGAGAUUUCCAAGAACAUAAAUGGAAGAGAAGAGACGAGCAGUGAGAAAAGUUGGAUCUUACACGAUACGCUCCAGCUCUCUGGCGUAGCUUAGAGUCUGGUUGAUGAGUUGCAGAGACGGAAUCUCUUUGCACGGUGCAGUUUCUUUCGCUUUCUGAAAGACAACAAACCCGUCCUUCACUUCCCACUCAGGGUGUUCCUAUAAGAUUUGACAAAGCAUAAAUCGCGUCAAUGGUUCAUGGAACUAAAAAGGAAUCCAACACUUAGCACAAAUUUUUUUUCGUUUACCUCUUUGACAUAGGUUGAGAGUUCUUGAUCAGAAGAGAACAGCAACAUCUGCCGAGCAUCACUGAUAGAGACAUAAUCAUAAGCUUUCUCGCUGCAUCCAGCUAUUUCAUCUCUGAUAAUUCAGUCAUAACAAACAAAAGAUGUGAAAACACACGACAAGACAUGAGACUGAACUAAGCCAGAGAAGGAAGGACUGACUGAUACUACCUUAUGGUCUUUGCCAAGAGAUCCAUGAAAUAGACAUAAGUUGCAUCAGGCGCGGUCUGUCUAGCACUCAACACACGGUUGUAGGCACCUUCCAUGAACGACUGCUCAAGCUCUACUGCAUGCUUGAUGCAAGGAUUCUCCAGUGUAGCUGAUGAAAGUAACUCAAGUUCGGUGUGGAAUUCAGCAAUUCUAUUUUGUACAAGCAGCCUCAGAAGGUUCAGACCAAGGAUAAGAUUCUCCUGUGCAGAUGGGGGAAGACGGUUCCUGGUACAGAGGAAAAGAAGAUAUGUUAGACACAUAAGAAAACAUUGCAUCCAAAUGGAAAAGGAUAGUGUUCAGAAAGUUGGUUCUUUCUUCACCUAGCAUCCACAUAGUAAGGUUUCAACUGGAAGAAAUCUCUCUCAAAAGCAUCUUGGUCCUCGGUUUUUACGCUCAGAACAACAGCAUGCUCAUAAAUGUCCCCUAGAAUUCACCAAUUGUCAAAAAAACUUAAGCAUAUAAUCCAUAAUAAUAUAAAUUUACCAUUUACUCAAUCCACAAAAAUCGCAGCAAUUAAAGGUUAAUGUAUACCCAGUAAACAGUAAUCUAAAAGCUAACGUCGUGCAUAGACAGACAAACUAAAGCACAGUAAAGCCUGAUUGCAAACCCUCGAGUUUUGUGACCCUUAAGAGGUAUAAACUGAAGUUAACUAAAUAAGUCAUGAGGAGAGAAAAAUACAACAUACUCCAUACAAUUGAUGGCAAAGCAAAACUAUAAAUUCCCUAGAAACAAGCCAUCUAAAACCCAGUAAUGAAAACAGAACCUUACUUGCAAUAGUCAACUCCUGAGCUGCGUUUGGUGAAUUCUCGAACAAAGGAGGAAGACUAGUGAAUUUGGUCAGAAGAACCUGAAGAGCAUAACAAAUAAAAACCACCAACAUAAGAAACUAUCACCGGUCAAUUGCAACCCAGACUAACCCAACAUGUUCUACUCACAUUAACGAUCUCUUAAACUAAAAAGCAGCACUUAAGCUAUUCUGCUAAAAGAUUUCCAACUCAUUGAUAAAAAUCGAAGCUAUCAUAGAUUCGAACUCUCACGACAAAACCUAUCAAUUUUCCCAAAAUUCAUUUAUCAAACAUGUAUAUGCAAAGAAGUGAAAUCGAAACAAAUUAGGGUUCAAAGAAGAGCGAGAGAGAUACCUUAAGCUGAGACAACAGAUCACUACAGGUAUUGUAAUCCUUCCUCGCAAACGCCGCCUUGAAUCUCUCGAACUGCUGUGAAACUUCGGUUAGCUGCGGAUCCAUUGCUUGAGCUCUCUCUCUCUCUCUCUCUAUCUUUUUCGCUUCACCGGCGACGAUUCUUUUCUUCUAGAUUUGCUUGCUCCGAAACUGGCUUGAUCGGGAAGAUAAAGACUGAAACAGUAGUAGUAACAUGUCUUUACAAAAUGGGCCUUUAACAGGCCGAAUCCAAUCUAAAAAAGCCCAAAGUGCAUAUUAGCUCUAUGACUAACGUGUACCAACAUCAUCUCUUAUCCAAAUUACCUCGUCGUCUCUUUGCUUUCUCCAAGCCGUUGUGAAUUUACUUGUAAGCUCUCAAUCACACAACAAUGGUGGCGUCUUCGCUAUGUCUAUCAAAUUCCGCAAUUUUCUCUCUACCUAAUGUAUCUUCGCGGCCGCUACUCUCAUUCUCCCACUCUCUGAGGCCAUUCAUCUCCAAGUCGAAGCAUGUUGCCUCGAUACAACAACAACCACAGAAGAGAGAUGGGUCUCAAUUAGUGGUGAAGUCUCAGGCUCUUGAUUUCUCCGGCACUUUCUUUGAAGGUGGAUUCGGGUCGGACGAUGACCCGAUUUCUCCUUCCGGGUCGGGAGUCUCAACUGCCCUUGAGGACAAACCGGAACCUCAGUGCCCGCCUGGACUCAGGCAAUACGAAACAAUGGCGGUCUUGAGACCAGAUAUGUCUGAAGACGAGCGGCUUGGUCUUACCCAGAAAUACGAAGAGGUAAGUAAAAGUCUCCAAAUUUUACAUGUUUUGUGUUUGCGAGAAAACGAGAUUUUGGGAUUCAAUUAGAUACUGAGCUUACUUACAUUUUUCAAAAACCGAAACUUGAAACUUUCUGUAAUAGUAUAGAUAGGUAAGAGAUCACUGAAUGUUGCAUUUUGUGUCGGUGCUUGCACAGAGAGCACAAGCAAAAUCUUCUAGAUAACCGUUUCAAAGUAGAGUUGAGUAUACUGAUCAGUUAGUGGUUUCUUAUCAAUUGAAGUGUAUGUGACAAUCCUUAGUGAAAUCUUAAGUAAAGGUUUUAGCUUUCUAAGAGCAAUCUCAUCCUUCUUCUGUGCGAUAUGGACUCUUAAAGUACUAAACGCUAGAUACUAGAUAUCUGCACGAGAUAGAAGCCCUUAGUGCACUUCUUAGUCAUGUUAUACCUUCACAUUUUUACUCUGUUAAUAUACAGUUUGAUGCUCGAAAUGAACCAAUACACAGUUCUUAUUGGUGGUAUAUAUGUGUGGAUUCCUUAGAUUAUGUCCCUUGUUUAAUCAAAUCAUGGUUACGAAAUGUAUGUUGUGUUUCGAUAGUUACAUAUAUCACACUCUGAAAGAUUUCUUAUAUCAGUGUUUUUUGUGGUGUGUGGCAGUUGCUUGUGGCAGGAGGUGGAAUGUAUGUGGAAGUGUUCAACAGAGGAGUGAUUCCAUUGGCUUACAGCAUCAGGAAGAAGAACAAAGCUGGAGAAACUAACACUUACCUGGAUGGAAUCUACCUUCUGUUCACCUACUUUACCAGACCAGAAUCGAUAACUCCGCUCGAGGCUGUUCUCACUGCGGACGAUGACAUUAUCCGAUCCUCUUCCUUCAAGAUAAAGAAGAGGAAGUACAACUGAAGAGACAAUAAAUAUUGUGUAUGUGUAAGAAAAAAAAGUCAGAUUCUUUCUUCUUCUAUUUUGUUGCUCUGGAGAACAUAAGUAAAUCGCUCUUUAUUUAGUUCUGCUUGUUUUUGUCUUUUUGGAUUUUUUGUGCAUUGCUCUGUUUUUGUUAUGUAACAGAGUGUGAGAAACUCUAAAAGCUAAGUUUGAGAAGCAUCCUUGUAUGCAUUUUCAAAAAGAGAAUAGAAUUAAUCCAUCGGAAUAUAGCAUAAAAUGAAAUGAUAAAUCUCAAAUUAGCUCUGUUCCUUUGCACAAUUUGACAUGAAUGAUUGCGAGUUGGCCACAAAGAAAACAAUUGUGUCUCCUUCAAGAUUUAUUGAUACUGAUGAUGAAGAGUUAGAAGAUUUGGAGUGUGUUCGUGCAGAAGUCACACGGCUUGCCAGCCUUGUGCCCUUGUCACACGGCUUGCCAGCCUUGUGCCCUUGUCACGCUUAAAACAUAAACUAGAAGAGCUUGUUGAACACUUUAUCUUUUACGUAAUGAUCAAAACCAUAGAUAUAUACAAGUGAGAGAGACCUAGGAAGCUAUAUCAUCCUAAGAAAUAAGCAAACGUAUCACAAACAAACAUAUAUAUAUUUUCUUGUGUGUUCAUCAUCAUCUCAAUUCCCUUAAUUAACAAAACAAACGGGACAACGAAUUAGUCCAUUCUCGUUACACUUGACACACCUCUCCCAACCUUCACCUUUCGUGGCAGCAACCGCAGCCACCUUACAGCUACCACCGCACUCAAAGCAAGGCAACCACCUAGCUCCUCCGCAUCCUUCACACGUGUGCCUCCCUUCCUCCCCCACUCUCUCCACACGUGCCCACCUCAACACCCUCCCUAACUUCCCAUUCUCAUUCAUAGCCGUCACCUCCGCUGCUCCUCCCAAGUACCUCCCUUUCACAAACACUCGCGGUGGCGCCACAGUGGCUUCGUCUUGAAGAAGCUCCUUAAGCUCGCUCAAGACUCCGGCGUCUAAAGCAACGUCCCUCUCGUCCACCACCACUCCUUGCUGCUCCAUGAUGGCCCUCACACGCAUGCAAUCUUCAUACGUGCGACGCACUCCUUGUAACGACGUCGUGUAGACCACCAAACCUUCCCCUCCUCCCGGCGGACACUUCUCCGGGAACUCCCUGAGUGGGUCCCAGUUCAUCACCGGUUUCUUGUUGCCUUCUCUCUCCCUCCGUUCUCUGUCUCUCUUGACGAAUAUGUUCUCCUUCACUGACCGAGGCCCCGAGUAAGACGGCUGAGUCGACUCCUCCGUCCGAUCUUCUGACUGAUCGGGUCUUAGCUGGGACAUCGACUCCGUUCUCUUAAGCUUCACCACCGUCGUCGGGAUCUGCGCGGCGAUGCUUCUUUUGGCCCUUGCUUCAAGCUCGUCAAGUGUGUGGAAUGAUGCGCUCUUACGCGGAAGCCGCCGUGGAGGAGUAGCUGGAGGUUUAACGGAAACCACUUCCGGUUGUUUAUCAACGGCGGGUUUAAGUUUGGUUUCUAAAGAUUUGCUAACCUCGUCCCAAGUUUUAGGAGCGUUUUCAUCAUCAUCAUCAUCGUUGAGAGUGGCUGGCACGGUGGUGGCGCGUGGAGGUUUCUCAUCAUCAUCUUGUUCGAAUUUGAGCCACGGCUCUUGGAUGGCGUUGAUAUCAAAAACCGCGAAACUGGAAGGCGGUGGUUUGUAAACGUCGGCGACGACGUUAGCUUUGGCUUGCUUGGACGAUGCACAACCCAUUUUAAUGCCUUGAAACUGUGUGUUAUAGUUUUCUUAAGGAUGCGUGUUUGUGUUUAUAUUAUACCAAGAAGAAAAAUGAUAGGUAGCAAUUUGUGUGGUCUCAGACACUUCUCUUAUCUAUAUAUUUUUUGCUUGCAACUUUUGUAUUCUUCCUAUAAUGAUGAGUUAGUAUAGAAAUGUGGAUUUAUUUGAGUCCAUGAAUAAAUAAAUAAAUGAAACGAGUUUAUAUUACUUAAGACCCUCUGAUCAGGAGCACCACAAAGUGUACUUGUGGUUUCAGUGUGAGAUACGUGGUGAGUCAAUCAGAUAGAUUCUUGACCAUCAACCUUGUAAUAACUAACUACUCGUUCGUAAAUGCAAAUGUCAAAAUCUCUCUCUAGCUAACCAAGAAAGAAAUGCAAAUGUCAUUAUCUUUACUAUACUAUACGAAAAUAAUGCAUUUUCAUAACAAAAAAAAAAUGAAUACUAUAACAUUGGGAAUAGAGACACAUAUAUACUGAAAUUGCCUAGAUUUCAAGGACCUUAUGAGAAGCCUAUCAACACAAAAUUCACACAAAAUUGCACCUUGUAGAUCGUGAAUCUCUCUUUGCCAUGCUUGUAUUUCCUCCAACUUACUUCAUGACAUCAUAUCAAAUAUAUUUUCUUUUUCCUCCCUUAGUGCACCACUUAACUAUUUACUCUUGCUUCAGUAUGGACGAGAUUAUCCAUUUUUUUUUUUUUUUUUUUUGUCAUCAUGGACGAGAUUAUCCAUUUACAAUGUGUACAUACCAUAUAUCUUUUGUAUCAAGAAAGGAAUUGGAAAGGCUUUCAAGAAAAGCAGAAGACGCAAACAAAAAAAUGAAUUAAGGUUUUGGGCCGGUUUCGAACUAUCUUUUUGUUAUCGGGCUUUUGUUUGGAUUCUAAAAGUUACUCUGUUUACAAGACUUAUUUGGGCUUUUAGUAUUACGUUUGGCUUUCUUACGCUACGCUUUUGGACGUUUACAAACAUUAUUAUCGGUAUGGUCGUAUGGAUGAGUAAGAGAGAGCUUUCAUUUUUUUAUUUUUUUUGGUCAUCAAGAGAGAGCUUUCAUUGAAAUAAGUUUUUUUUUUUUUUAAUUUUUUUUGUUUUUUGUUGUAAAGAAUUGAAAUCAAAUUCUAUAAGAAAAGAAUCGUCGCCGGUGAAGAGAAAAAGAGAGCUCAAAGGAUGUAUUCGGCGCAAACGGAAGUUUCACAGGAGUUGGAGAGAUUCAAGGCUUACAAUAGCUGUAAGGAGCUUAAGGUAUGUAUCUCUAAUAUUACGGGAUUGUUGAAUUGUGAGUAGAAGAAGAUAAACGAAGGGUUUAGUUUAGAUUGCAAUUGACUGGUGAGAAUUUUCUGAUGUCGGGGUUUUGUUAUCUGUUAUGUUCUUCAGGUUCUUCCCACCAAAGUCACCAGUCUUCCUCCAUUGUUCGAGAGUUCACCAAACGCAGCUCAGAAGUUGACUUUUGCAAGUAAGCUUCUAGGUUUGUAGUUUUGGCUUUGACAUUAGUUUUGUCUGUCCUCAUGACUUGUGUUAGUUAACUUUGGUUUAUAUAUAUACCUCGAGAUCUCAAGGGUCACAAAACUUGAAAGAGAUUGUGUAUGUCAGGUUUCUCUCUUCUUUAGUUUUGUCUGUCUCUCCCAAAUAUUGUUGGUAGAGGCUAAAUGUUUAACACGGCAGAGAGAUUAGGGUAGAGAAUUGUUUAAAAUUAGAAGAUCCCUAAAUUUCUAUUAACAUAUAUACAUAACUCCUAUAAUUUACAAGCUCUGAAAUCUGCAAAAUUAUCUGGAUCUGUAGCUAAGGUUGAAGCAGUAGCUGUUGAAGAAGAAGGAUCUCAGCAUCCUGAGGAGAAGAGUAAUGAAGGUAUAAUAAAGAAGCAAGUCAACAAACCUUUUGUUUGUAGUACCUGCUCUGGAAUAUGAUAACUUAUGUCUCAUGGUUUAGCAUCUGUCAUGGUGACUGAGAAAACCCUCUCCCAAGAGAUAGCAAAAUACCUACGCUUGUACCACGACUUGAGAAGUCUCAGAUUCGAGCAAAUUGACAUGGACAUGGAGGAUCCUAAAGAAAAAGAGCAAGAGAAGAAGCACGUGGAAGAUGUGCAAAGCUCUGUGGUUAAAUCCGCAAUGGAGAUAAUGAAAGACGCUAAACAAGGAGAGCCACUUGAGGAACUCUUUGGUACGGUGAAGAAAGGGAUUAAAGAAGUCGAGCGACUUAUUUCUUGUCUCAAGGAUGAGAUGGAAACAAGUGCUUAGAAGAAGCUGGACCAAGAUGCAAAAUGCUAUGAUUUCAGCUUCUUAAUAUACUAAAUUAGUUUUUCUUUUUUUUUUUCCUCCUUCCAUUAGUGAUACUUAAAUAUGACUGUCUUAAUAACAAGCCAGAUAUAGAGAAGAAGAAGAGCAACAACAUAACUGAACAAGGAGGAAGAAGAAGACAUACAGUCUUGUGUUUUGCCCAAACCUGCAACUCUCGUUUACAUUGUUGUAGUAGCCGUUUGCGCCUUGUGGUCCCAAAACCUUAACUUACAUACCAAAACCUUAAUAAAAGAACCACUUUACUAUCUCUUCCCACACAUCCAAAACAAUUGCAUCAGCAUGAUAUAGUCUAGUUCCUGAAGAAGCCAUUCCAACACAAAAAUCAGAGUGAAACAGAGCUCCUGUUGAGUGUGUAGAUGUUUAUUUAUAGUUUUUUACGUGAAUACAGUUUCCCGUUUCCAUUACUAAUACAAUUCAUCAAAACUGUUCCUUUUUGUGGAGUUAAAAAUCUUUUUAGUUAGAUUUGGAUUUCUUGUUUAACUAAGGUCCAAAACGGCGUUGAUAAACAUUUUUCUUUCUUUUUUUUUGUAAAAAUGUGAUAUUGAUUCUUCCACCAUUUUAAGUAGCCCAAAUGGCUUCAGUAGGGAGAAUGAACAACUGCAAUCCCAAAAUAAUAACCCAACAACUGACUUUUAAAACAAAUGGUGUUCAAGUUCAAACAAGAACGAGAGCAGUGAUAAUUAGUUCUGAUAAAACUGAAGUAAUGAAACAAGUUAAAUAUAGUGGGAGGAACACGGAUGAUAUAUA
This 68017-nucleotide long non-coding RNA is filed under the name Capsella rubella. Its description in RNAcentral is "long non-coding RNA (CRUB_LNC003999)". The record is from RNAcentral. Lineage: Eukaryota; Viridiplantae; Streptophyta; Magnoliopsida; Brassicales; Brassicaceae.